RNAcentral lists this long non-coding RNA (54670 nucleotides) under Hordeum vulgare. Its description in RNAcentral is "long non-coding RNA (HVUL_LNC012251)". Lineage: Eukaryota; Viridiplantae; Streptophyta; Magnoliopsida; Poales; Poaceae. The record is from RNAcentral.
UUCUUGAGUCAUACAUGAGUUGCGCGCACCGUUGCUCUCUUUCGGUUGCACGUGUUGAAUUGUCUUUUCCGUCACACGUGAGAGGGGGUAUUAUAGUAUAUGUGAAUUGUACUGGCCCUUUUCAUCAGUUCGGAUUUUUGGUUGCGUUGGCUAAUGUAUGAAGCUUAACAUUUCCAUUCUUUACAUUUUCCUAUCUAUUCCUCUUAUCCUAUCUUUUUCUUUCCUUUUUCUUCUGUCUCACAUUUUUCAUGGAGAGACCGCCUCCUGCAAAGGAGCCUCUCUUUUUCUUCUCUCUCACAUUUUUCAUGGAGAGACCGCCUCCUGCAAAGGAGCCUCUNNNNNNNNNNNNNNNNNNNNNNNNNNNNNNNNNNNNNNNNNNNNNNNNNNNNNNNNNNNNNNNNNNNNNNNNNNNNNNNNNNNNNNNNNNNNNNNNNNNNUCUUUUCUCGUUUGUUUUCGUACGUAGUCGGACCCUGCUCUUAUUCAUGAUCUUUCUCGUUUGUUUUCGUCCGUAGUCGGACCCUGCUCUUACUCAUGAUGACUAUGUAAUGUACUGAUGUGACUCUGAUGUAGCUUGUGGCGAGUGUAAGCCAAUUCUAUAUAUAACUCUUCUUUUCAGUACAUGUACUUGUAACGAUAUCCAUUCUUGCGACACGACAAGAUGCGCUUCUAUUCUUGACGAGGCCCUCGUGCCAAAUUGAGGAUAGGGUCGCAUCUUGGGCGUGACACUUUGAGAAAGCUUUAAUGAACCGUCUAUAGAAACCAUCAUGACCAAGGAAGCUUAUUACACCUUUGAUAUCUUUUGGGCAAGGCAUUUUCUCUAUUGCAUCAACUUUGGCCUUAUCCACCUCAAUACCUUAUUCAGAAAUCUUAUGCCCAAGCACUACACCUUCAUUCACCAUAAAGUGGCACUUCUCCGAAUUCAAGACAAGAUUAGUUUCUUCACAUCUCCACAAAACUAGAUCAAGGUUGCUCAAGCAAUCAUCAAAGGAAGUCCCGUAAACGGAAAAAUCAUCCAUGAAAACCUCAACAAUCUUUUCACACAAGUUAGAGAAUAUAGCAGUCAUAAAUCUUUGAAAGGUAGCAGUUGCAUUGCACAGACCAGAAGGCAAACGCCUAUAAGCAUAAAUUCCAAAAGGGCAACUAAAGGUUGUUUUCUCUUGCUCCUCUUUUGACACACGUACUUGAGAGAAUCCAGAAUAUUCAUCAAGAAAGCAAAAGUGUGUGUGCUUAGAUAGUCUUUCUAAGAUUUUAUCAUUAAAAGGUAAGGUGUAAUGAUCUUUUCUAGUAGCCUUAUUCAACUUCCUGAAUCGAUUACCAUCAUAUAACCAAUUCUAUCCUUUGUGGAAGAAGUUCAUUUUUAUCAUUAGGAACAACAGUUAUACCACCUUUCUUGGAAAAAAUGAACAGUACUUACUCAUCUACUAUCAACAAUAGGAUAGAUUAUACGUGCUUCUAGAAGUUUUAGUAUUGCAGUUCCUACCACCUCUUUCAUAUUAGGGUUGAGAUAGUGUUGAUAAUCUGCCAGCAGCACGAGCUGCUGGCACAUCAAAAGUGACAUCGGGACAUUCAUAUUUCGCUUUGUCACUCGUGGAUCCAGGUUUGGAUGCCUCAGACAACAUCAGGCCCAUUCAUUUUGCAGUAGAUGCCCUCCAACAACCUCCCAAAUGAGCUUAAUGCACCUUUAAGUUAUGUAGAAUGGAUCUCUUUAUGCUUGUUGAAUAUGGCAGACAUAUGUGGGGGCAGCUAGAAUGCAUAGAAACAAAAAACAGAGGACAGGGAAAAUUACAUUAGCUACAUAGUUUUGAUAUUUUCUGUCAAGCAAAAGGAUACGAUGCGGGAAAAAAGAGAGUUGCAAAAAGGAAAUGUUAUAUGGCCCACCUUUAACUCCUCAAAUGUGGGUAGCGGAUGCAGCCACUCCUCCAAAUAGCCCCACACAUCAUCACCACCCUUCGUGUUAUCCGUAGGUGGCUCAUGCACAUUCCCCACUAUGCCAUCAGCAUCACCCAUACCAACCUUUGGCGGUUCUUGAAUGCCAUCAGCACCAUCCACACCCGAAAUUUGUGUUGAGCACGCACCAGCUCCACCUUGGUCAUUUAUCACUGGCGGCUCCUAUGUCACACUAGCUUGGUUGGAUAACUGGGCAAGCUAGUCUACGUAUGACAGAAACUUGGUUGUUGUGUAUGGUGUAAUGGAGAUGAACCGCAUUCCAGAAAACAAAACAUAGGGAAAACACAUGAAAAUGUGACAGGAAUCCAGAGUUGCAAUUGCAACAAGGAAACGAGAAGGUAUUGUUUCCAAAAUUUGAAAAAGGGAUACUUACAGGGCGCUUCCCUNNNNNNNNNNNNNNNNNNNNNNNNNNNNNNNNNNNNNNNNNNNNNNNNNNNNNNNNNNNNNNNNNNNNNNNNNNNNNNNNNNNNNNNNNNNNNNNNNNNNUAAUUGCCUCUAGUUUAUUUUCCUGUAUAUAGGUUAUUUUCCUGCAUUUAUGUGUGGCAUUAUUUUGUUGUUGCAACCCCACAUAUUUUAUAUGUUUCCGGGGUAGAAAAAUCCAUGGGAUUUUCUGUGCAAUUAGUUUUAGCUUUUGAGCAAGUUAGUUCGCGAGAUAUUUUGCUAUGUUGCCCUCUUGUCUAUUUCGUAGGAUUUAUUCCGUGCUCCGUUUGAUUAAGUUGACAACUAGGGAGUUGUUCUUGGGUGUUUAGACUAGCCCCUGAUAUUUUUGGUUGCAAUGGAAAUGCAUGUUUAGGUGUAGUUUGCUUGCUCUCAAGUUGCUAGAAAUCAUGCUGAUUUGGAGGAGCUGAAAUAUUUCUAAGUCUGGAAUCUAUUUUUUUUUGUUGCUCUUUUGUUUUGCUUCUAUCUUGUGAUCUGUAGCUCUUUUGAGGUUGGUCCAAUGGAGUUAGUUGUACCCCUUUUGUUUCUCUAGCAUGCUGUAAAUUUUCAUGCCACUUGGAAUCCUGUAGCUAUAGGUUUUGUUGCUGUCAAUAUAGCUUCAGAUCGAAAACUGCACUUUCAUGAGGUGUAAUUUUCACUAAGUCUGAAAUGGUGUGUGAGAUGCCAUUUUGUGUCUUCUUUUCCUAGUGCUCCUUGCUGCCAUGCUAGUUGUUGUUAGUUGUUUGUAGUAGUGCGUCUUGCCCUCUUUCGUGCCAUGCCUUGCUUGAGUUUAUUGGAGUUGUGUAGCUCGUAGUUGUGGGGCGUAGAAAAUACUAUGUGGCUGAUUUUGGCAGAUUGUAGUGAUUUCUCGUUUUGCUCGUAGUUGUUAAACCGUAGCUCCGAUUUGAUCGUGUCCUACAUGAAACUUGCUUAGAAUCUUGUGUAGUUUCAUUUUCUCUUGCUGUUUGUAUGUUUUGAAGUGCUCGUAGCCGUCAUUGCACACAUAUUGCAUUCAUGCCAUCAUAUCUUGCGGUGCUUGUAUCUUUUGAACCGUAGCUCCGUUGGAGAUGUUCUUUAUGUGUAGAUUGCUUGAAAUGACGCAUAGAAUCACGUGAACCUAUUUGUUUUGCUGUUUAACAACCAAUUAAAUGUGUUAGUUCAGAUCUGGACAGAAUUGUAAAUUAACUUGUGAGGUCGUUUCGGAGGUGCUAUAAGACAUUUCCGACCUCAUUUAAAAUGCCUAGAUAGGUAGUUUAAUUUCCGCUUCACCUCUUCCCAUGUUUAACCACAUUUAAUAUUGUCGUGUAUCUAAUCGGGAUAGAACUAAAUAAUUAAACGUGGAGUUUCGUCAAUAUGCAACUCGUUGCAUAUUGAACUUCACUUAAUGUGUAGUGUUUGAUUGUGUGAUUUGUCAUGCCGUGACUUGCAUGUUUUCAGCUGCUCAUGCAUCAUUUGUGUUGUGCAUCGUGUGGUGAUUUCCGUGUGGUGAUUUGUGUUUCCGGUUUGCUUCGUCUCGAUAGAGCUCCGCACGCAUGCCGGAUUGUGAGGACCCGUUCGACUACGCCGGUUCGUCUGCUUCACGGAGGCAUUCUUCUUCCAAGCGGGAUCUCAGGCAAGAUGACCAUUUCCCCAGAUACCAUUACUAUCAUUACCAUGCUAGUUAUUUCGACGCUAUCGAUUAUGUCUCGUUGCCUACCACAUGUUAAAUAUUAGCCUCUCAACAAUGCCAUGAAAACUCUCAACCAUGUUCAACCUAGCAAACCACUGAUUGGCUAUGUUACUGCUUGCUUAACCCUGUUGUUAGCGAUGCUAGUUGCAGGUGCAUUGGUUCCAUGUGAAAGCAUGAGUUCCUUGUUAUAUCACCAUAUUAAAUGCUAUUUAAUUUAAUGCACCUAUAUAUUUGGUAAAAGGUGGAAGGCUCGGCCUUUCUAGCCUGGUGUUUUGUUCCACCUUUGCCCCCUUAGUUUCCGACUACCGGUGUUAUGUUCCAUAAAUGAGCGCUCCUAACACGAUCGAGGUUGUUAUGGGGACCCCCUUGAUAAUUCGUUUUAGAUUAAAGCUGGUCUGGCAAGGCCCAACUUUGGUACUACAUUUGCCUAAACACCUAAUAAAAUUGCAUAGGGACUUUCCGGACCCCGAGGAUAAUUUAAUCAACCCCCGGGCCAGUUCUCCUCAUGAGUGUUGGUCCCACCUGAGCGCUUUCCGGCGCCCCUCUAGUCACCCGGAGGUUUAGCGAUCCCGAUGUCUAGCUCAUCCGUGGUGUCUUGAGAACGAGGUACGUGACUCCUAUCGGGAUCGUCGACACGUCGGGCGGCCUUGCUGGAUUAGUUUUACCUUUGACGGAAUAUCUUGUGCAUCGGGAUUCCGGUGAUGCUUUGGGUAAUCUCAGAGUUGAGGUUUUCCACUAAGGAAUACGACGAGAUCGCGAGCUUCGUGAUUGAGGAUUUCUAUGCGGCUUGUGGUAAUUUGUGAUGGACUAGUUGGAGCACCCCUGCAGGGUUAAAUAUUUUCGGAAAGCCGUGCCCGCGGUUAUGUGGCAACGUGGAAACUUUGUUUAACACUGGUUCUAGAUAACUUGAAGCCAGCUUAAUUAAAAUAUGCCAACUGUGUGCGUAACCGUGACUGUCUCUUUCGUGAGUUCCUUCUCCGAUCGAGGAAACAGUAGUUCAGGAUCAUUCAUUUGAUCAACAGUAGUUCACGUCCGCUAUGCGUAGAUCUUCCCCCUCUUAUUUCUGGUACUCGUAAGUGUAGCCACCUAAUAUAUGCUUAGCCGCUGCUGCAACCUCACCACUUAACCUUACCUCACCCAUUAAGCUUUGCUAGUCUUGAUACCUUUGGAAAUGAGAUUGCUGAGUCCCCUCUGGCUCACAGAUUACUACAACACCAGUUGCAGGUACAGGUAAAGGUUACUUGACGCGAGCGUGUUGAUUGUUCAUUUGGAGUUGCUUCUUCUUCUUCUUCAUCGAUCUAGGAUGGGUUCCAGGCCGGCAGCCUGGGAUAGCAAGGAUGGACGUCGUUCUNNNNNNNNNNNNNNNNNNNNNNNNNNNNNNNNNNNNNNNNNNNNNNNNNNNNNNNNNNNNNNNNNNNNNNNNNNNNNNNNNNNNNNNNNNNNNNNNNNNNAUUGAAUCGGUGGGUUUAAAUAUUUAAUUCUUGAAACAACUUCUCUUCGAGACUCCUCCACUAACAAGAAUGCUAUAACACCACCUCAGAGAAUAAAGGAGGAAGAAUUGCACUUUGAAAUGCAAGACAAAGAAUAUUUGAGGUUCUCCAACAAGAAUCUUGAAGAACACCAUGAGAAUGAAUUUGAUAUCAUGAGCCAUUCCGGAAGAAGAAUUGAAAUCACUUUGAGAAAACAAUAAUGAGAAUUAUGUUAUUCUUAUCCUUCAUCAAGUUAAAUUGAUGACAAUCACGGAUUUAGCAUACCACUUAUGCUUCUUGAAAAAUAUUAAAAAGAGAUAGAGAAAGGGCACAAACUAGGAGAAGCUUUGAACGAACCACCGGCAAGAAUUUCAAACGAAAGGGAAAACUUUGAAUGAAUGGAGACACAAUAUAAUGAAGAGAUCAUGAUCCACCUAGAAGAAACUUGAACAAGGCAUCGUAAUAAUUGAGAUACGAGCGAAGGGACGACAAUUGGGAAGAAUUUAUGAUUGAAAGCUGAAAGCUAAGAACGAAGAAAUCUUCUGAAAUGACGGCCUUCGGAGGAUCAAGAAAUGAAAACAACUCUGAAAUGCACGAGUUAGAUAUGGAAGGAAUUACUCAUGAUCAAAAACAAUUGAGAAGACAGAUGAAGCUGAAUUGACAAUCUUCAACAGAGUGGACAAUAUUUAAGAGAAACACUUCUUCGGUCUUCUAAGCAGAAAAUGAUGAGGAGAACACCACCAAGAAUAACUGAGACACUCCAGAAUGAUGAAGAAUGAAAGGUUGAGCCAAAUAUGAGAAAUAAUUUUUAAGCAAUCUUGGAGAAGGAAUAUGACUGAGCAAAUUCAUACUUACGACAUAAUUGAAAAGAAUUAGAGAUCUCCGAAAAAAUAUUAGAAGAGCCACAUAAUAUCAUAGGAGAAACAUGUGGGUUAUGGGCCCACUGAAAGAAAACACCGUUGAAACAAUUUAUUAGAAAAGAGAGAUUGCACCGGUACAAAGAAAACUUGAUGAGGUGAGAGCCUUCAAAUAAUUGAAAGGAUUGAAAACAAGAAGCUUCUGAGAUAUAUUCAGCACUCCGGAUUGAACAAAGAUGGAUGAAUAACAAGAGAGGCUUGAUAAGAAUUUUCAACACGGGAACGAAUUUAAAGGAUGAAAAAUAUAUGAUGAACACGGAGAGCUUGAAUUGGAUCCACUGAAGAAGAAAACAAGAAUGAAGAAUGAUGAAGUAGCAACUCCUGAGAAUAUUCACAAUGAAUCACCGGAUACAAAAGAAAAUAAAGAUAAAGGAAGCAAUAAUGAAAGGAAGACACUUGGAUGAUAACUGAAUCACUGAAGAAAAAGGGUGGGAGGGUGGGGAAAAACAAAUACAACGUGGGACAGAUGAGAUGAACUUCGGAAGAAAUGAGAGAUUGAUCUUGCAAAAUUGGAGAGGAUUGAAUUAACUUGAAGAGAAGCACUCGAUGGAAAAAAGAAUUGACAUGAUGACUCCGGUUGACAAGAAUUGAAAAGAUAGUUUGAUUGAGCAAAAGAAAUUGAAUUCCCAUAAAAAUAUGAGAACACUUCUUAGAACAAAAUGAAUUCACCACUUGACAUCGAAGCAACUCGAAUGACCAUAUUCCAGCAAACCAAAGGAUGAGGCUUACAACACAAGCCGGAACAAAUUCAUGACAGAGAUUUCAUCCAAUAUGAAAGUGCGUUAUAUCGACUAGGGGGGGUGAAUAGGAGCUUUUAGAAUUUCAUCACUAAGGAAAUUCCUCACUGAUGACUGAUACGUCUCAAACGUAUUUGUAAUUUUUUAUGGUUUCACGCUGUUAUCUUGUCUUCUUUGAUUGUUUUAUGUACCUUUUAUAUCUUUUUGGGACUAACUUAUUAAUUCAGUGCCAAGUGCCGGUUCCUGUUUUUUCCGUGUUUUUGACUCUUUUCAGAUCUGAUUUUGGAACGGAGUCCAAACGUAAGAAAAACGCCGAAAUGAUUUUUUUCCCGAACGAAAGAAGACCAGGGGGCUUUUGGGCCAAGCCAGGUGGGCUCCAGGGAGCCCACAAGCCCUCACUCCGCCACCAGGGGGAGGCGGCGGUGGGCAGGCUUGUGGCCUCCCUGGCCGCCCCCUGACCUAGGUCUUUGGCCUAUAAAUUCCCAAAUAUUCCGCAAAAAAUCAGGGGAGCCUCGAAAAUACUUUUCCGCCGCUACGAGCUUCCGUUUCCGCGAGAUCUCAUCUAGAGACCCUUCCCGGCAUCCUGCUGGAGGGGACUUUGGAGUUGGAGGGCUUCUUCUUCAUCAUCAUCAUCGCCCCUCCAAUGACUCGUGAGUAGUUCACUUCAGACCUACGGGUCCGUAGUUAGUAGCUAGAUGGCUUCUUCUCUCUCUUGGAUCUUCAAUACAAAGUUCUCCAUGAUCUUCAUGGAGAUCUAUCCGAUGUAAUCUUCUUUGGCGGUGUGUUUGUCGAGAUCAGAUGAAUUGUGGAUUUGUGAUCAGAUUAUCUAUGAUAUAUAUUUGAGUCUUUGCUGAUUUCUUAUAUGCAUGAUUUGAUAUCCUUGUAAGUCUCUCCGGGUCUUGGGUUUUAUUUGGCCAACUAGAUCUAUGAUUCUUGCAACGGGAGAUGUGCUUGGUUUUGGGUUCUGCCAUGUGGUGACCUUUCCCAGUGACAGUAGGGGCAGCAAGGCACACAUCAAGUAGUUGCCAUCAAGGGUAAAAAGAUGGGGGUUUUAUCAUUGGUUUGAGAUUAUCCCUCUACAUCAUGUCAUCUUGCUUAUGGCGUUACUCUGUUCUUAUGGACUUAAUACACUAGAUGCAUGCUGGAUAGCGGUCGACGUGUGGAGUAAUAGUAGUAGAUGCAGAAAGUAUCGGUCUACUUGUUUCGGACGUGAUGCCUAUAUAAAUAAUGAUUGCAUAGAUAUCGUCACGACUUUGCGCGGUUCUAUCAAUUGCUCGACAGUAAUUUGUUCACCCACUAUCUACUUACUUUCAUGAGAGAAGCCACUAGUAAACACUACGGCUCCCGGGUCUAUUCACAUCCAUCGUUUACACCUCCGCUUUUACUUUGCUUUGUUACUUUGUUGCUUUCAGUUCUCACUUGGCAAACAAUCUAUAAGGGAUUGACAACCCCUUCAUACCGUUGGGUGCAAGCUUUUGUGUUUGUGCAGGAUCUUGCGAUACUCUUCCACCGGAUUGAUAACUUGGUUCUCAAACUGAGGGAAAUACUUAUCGUCGCUGUACUACAUCACCCUUUCCGCUUCGAGGGAACACCAACGCAAGGCUCCAAGGCCACGGGGGAAAUCCUUUGCAUACUUUCCUAGGAAGUCCCUUAAGGCGUAGCCAUAGCUGAAGGAUUCCUGGUGCCGUCAACACAACUAUUUCUGGCGCCGUUGCAAGGGAUACACAACAAACAUCAAGAAGUAUUUCUAGCGCCGUUGCCGGGAGGAGAGAUCAAGAUCUAUCCAAGUAGGUCUCACAAACUCAUCUCUUGCAUUUACUUUUGUUGCUAGUUGCCUCUCGUUUUCCUCUCCCCCACUUCACAUUUGCCGUUUUCAUUUGCUUUUCUCCUUUGCCUUUUUCGUUUGCCUUUCCUUUGCUUGAGUGUCUUGUGCCUUCAAUAUGCUUGCAUCUUCGCUUGCUGAAAAUCUAGUGAUAUGGAUCCUCAUCCACUAGCUAAUCUCUUUAAGAGACCCACUUAUGUGGAACGAAUUGCUAGUGAGUUGAGGGCACUUGAAUAUCUCUAUGGAGUUUUGCUUGAGAGGCGUGAAUCUAAAAAUCGUGAUGAAGAAAGUUAUGAAGUGAUUCACGAGAGCUCCUUGGAUGAAAAGCAUGAUUGCAAUGGUUUCACUAUAAAUUCUAUUAGUGACAAUCAUGCUAAAAAUAUGCAAAACCCUAAGCUUGGGGAUGCUAGUUUUGCUUUGUCCACUACUUGUUGCAAUAAUCAUGAUUGGGGUGAUGAUCUUUCUUAUGAUCUUUAAAAUUUGUUCAAACCUCAUGAUGAAUAUGAUAUUUGCAACAAUAUUUAAAGUGGGAUUGGAGAAGUCAUGACUUUAGUUGAUGAUAAUCCCACCAUUUUUGAAGAGCGACAACUUUNNNNNNNNNNNNNNNNNNNNNNNNNNNNNNNNNNNNNNNNNNNNNNNGCGUCGACUUUGCAUGCAUGUGGAUCGUGAAAAGAAUAUCCUAUGGGAUAGCUAUCUUGUUGAAUUUGAAUAUGAUCCCACAUGUAAUUGCUAUGAGAGAGGAAAAUAUUGUGGUAGAAACCUUCAUGUUACCAAAUCACCUCUCGUGAUGUUGAGAUUGCUCUUGUCUCUUUCUUCUUCCUUGCAUGUGGUAGCUAUUGGUUGUCUUGAUAAUUUGUUUUCCUAUAAAAUGCCUAUGCAUAGGAAGUAUGUUAGACUUAGAUGUGAUUUUACAUGCUUUAGGAAGCUCUCGUUGUGCUUCAAUUCUUGUCUUUUGUGAGAGCAUCAUUUAAUGCCUAGCUAAGGGCGUUAAACAAAAGCGCUUGUUGGGAGGCAACCCAAUGAAUCUAUCAUUUUUAUUUCUGUUUUGUGUUUUCCACACUUUCAUAAUUCUGUUAUGAUUGUGUUUUUUGUGUUUCUUUUUGCGUUUGUGCCAAGCAAAACCGUUAUGAUUAGUCUUGGGGAUGAUCGUUUGGUCAUGCUGGAAAAGACAGAAACUUUCUGCUCACGAAAAGAAUUUUCAUUUUUUUCUGUAAGAGAUUUUGAGUUGAUUCUUUUUGCUGCUAAUUGCUACGCAAAUUCUUCAGACUAUCGUAAUUGUUCAGAAUUUUUGAAGUACCAUAAUUAUACGAAAUAUACAAAUUGCUACAGACUGGUCUGCUGUUAACAGAUUCUGUUUUUGUUGUGUUGGUUGCUUAUUUUGAUGAAACUAUGGAUACUAUCGGGGGGGUAUUAGCCAUGGAAGAUUGAAAGUACAGUAAGCCAACAUUAGCAGAAGUAGAAUUUAAGUUUGCUACAGUACCUAAGGAAGUGGUGGUUUGCUUUCUUGUACUAAUGUUAUCACGAGUUUCUGUUUAAGUUUCGUGUUGUGAAGUUUUCAAGUUUUGGGUGAAGUUCUUAUGGACAAAAAGAUAAAUAGUGGCAAGAGCUCAAGCUUGGGGAUGCCCAAGGCACCCCAAGAGAUUCAAGGAUGUCGUAAAAGCCUAAUCUUGGGGAUGCCCCGGGAAGGCAUCCCCUCUCUCGUCUUCAAUAUAUCGGUAACGUUACUUGGGGCAAUAUUUUUAUUCACCACAUGUUAUGUGUUUUUGCUUGGAGCGUCUUGUAUCGUAGGAGUCUUUUAUUUUUUUGUUGUGUCACAAUCGUCCUUGUUGCACACCUAGAGAGAGAGACAUGCACGCACCGUGAUUUUGUCGAGCUUCACUUAUAUCUUUUGGUAGACAAUUCAGCUCACAUGUGCUUCACUUAUAUCUUUUGAGCUACAUACUUUUGCUCUAUGUACUUCACUUAUAUAUUUUAGAGCACAGCGAUGCGUGGCUUGGUAGUUGAUUUAUGCUUUGAAAGUAGUCUAAAAAGGAGUAGUUAUCCAAAGGGAUACGAAAACUUCCACCUUCAUGUGCAUUGAAUAGUUAGAGAAGUUUGAUUCAUCUCAAUUAGUUUUGAGUUGUGGUUAUGGUAAUUUUGAAGUCAUGCUAGUAAGGUGUUGUGGAUCUAGAAAUACUUGUGUUGAAGUUAGUGAUUCCCGUAGCAUGCACGUAUGGUGAACCGCUAUAUGAUGAAAUCUGAGCAUGAUUAGUAUAUUGAUUGUCAUCCUUUGCGUGGCGGUUGGGAUCACGCGAUGGUUUAUACCUACCAACCCUUCCCCUAGGAGUAUGCGUUGAAUGCUUUGUUUCGAUUACUAAUAAAACUUUUGCAACAAGUAUAUGAGUUCUUCAUGACUAAUGUUGAGUCCAUGGUUUAGAUGCACUUUCACCUUCCACCAUUACUAUCUUCUUAGUGUCGUGCAACUUUCGCCGGUGCACAAAACCCACCAUUAGCCUCCCUCAAAACAGCCACCAUACCUACCUAUUAUGGCUUUUUCAAAGUCAUUCCGAGAUAUAUUGCCAUGCAACUACCACCAUGACAUAUGCCACCACGUCUACAUUUCCAUUGCAUGAUCGUAAGAUAGCUAGCAUGAUGUUUCCAUUGAUGUCUAUGCCAUGCUAGAUCAUUGCCACGGUACACAACCGAAGGCAUUCCAUAUAGAGUCAUAGUUGCUCUAAGUUUUGAGUUGAAAGUGUGAUGGUCAUUAUUAAUGGAGCAUUGUCCCAUGUGAGGAAAUAAAAUAGGCCAAAUAAUCCCACAAAAGAAAAGAGGCCAAAGAGCCCACCAAAUAAAAAAUGAGAGAAAAAGAGAGAAGGGACAAUGCUACCACCUUUUCCACACUUGUGCUUAUUAAAGCACCAUGAUCUUCAUGAUUGAGAGUCUCUCGUUUUGUCACCACCAUAUAGCUAGUGGGAAAUUUUCAUUAUAUAACUUGGCUUGUAUAUUCCAAUGAUAGGCUUCCUCAAAAUUGCCUUAGGUCUUCGUGAGCAAGCAAGUUGGAUGCACACCCACUAGUUUUCUUUAAGAGCUUUCACAUACUCGUAGCUCUAGUGCAUCAUUUCUAUGGCAAUCCCUACUCAUUCACAUUGAUAUCUAUUUAUGAGCAUCUCCACAACUCAUUGAUAUGCCUAGUUAAUGCGGCUAUCUUCUCCUUUUUUGUCUUGCAACCUCCACUACAUUCCACACCAUCUAUAGUGCUAUAACCAUGGCUCAGGCUCAUGUAUUGCGUGAGAGUUGAAAAUGUUUGAGAAAGUAAAGGUGUGAAACAAUUACUUGGCCAAUACCGGGGUUGUACAUGAUUUAAAUUCGUUGUGCAAUGAUGAUAGAGCAUAGCCAGACUAUAUGCUUUUGUAGGGAUAACUUUCUUUUGGCCUUGUUAUUUUCAAAGUUCAUGAUUACUUUGCUAGUUUGCUUGAAUUAUUAUUGCUUCCACGUCAAUAGCAAAGUAUUGUUUUGAAUCUAAUGGAUCUGAACAUUCACAUCACAUAAGAGGAAUUACAAAGGACACCUAUGCUAGGUAGCAUGAAAGCAUCAAAAAUUCAUUCUUAUCACUUCCCUACUCGAGGACGAGCGGGAGUUAAGCUUGGGGAUGCUUGAUACGUCUCAAACGUAUCUAUAAUUUUUUAUGGUUUCACGAUGUUAUCUUGUUUUCUUUGGUUGUUUUAUGUACUUUUUAUAUUUUUUUGGGACUAACUUAUUAAUUCAGUGCCAAGUGCCAGUUUCUGUUUUUUCCGUGUUUUUGACUCUUUUCAGAUCUGAUUUUGGAACGGAAUCCAAACGGAAUAAAAACCCCGAAAUAAUUUUUUCCCGAAUGGAAGAAGACCACGGGGCUUUUGGGCCAAGCCAGAUGGGCUCCAGGGAGCCCACAAGCCCCUACUCCGCCACCAGGGGAGGCGGCAGUGGGCAGGCUUGUGGCCUCCCUAGCUGCCCCCUGACCUAGGUCUUUGGCCUAUAAAUUCCCAAAUAUUCUGCAAAAAAUCAGGGGAGCCUCAAAAAUACUUUUCCGCCGCCGCAAGCUUCCAUUUCCGCGAGAUCUCAUCUGGAGACCCUUCCCGGCACCCUGUCGGAGGGGACUUUGGAGUUGGAGGUCUUCUUCAUCAUCAUCAUCGCCCCUCCAAUGACUCGUGAGUAGUUCACUUCAGACCUACGGGUCCGUAGUUAGUAGCUAGAUGGCUUCUUCUCUCUCUUGGAUCUUCAAUACAAAGUUCUCCAUGAUCUUCAUGGAGAUCUAUCCGAUGUAAUAUUCUUUGGCAGUGUGUUUGUCAAGAUCCGGUGAAUUGUGGAUUUGUGAUCAAAUUAUCUAUGAUAUAUAUUUGAGUCUUUGCUGAUUUCUUAUAUGCAUGAUUUGAUAUCCUUGUAAGCCUCUCCGAGUCUUGGGUAUUGUUUGGGCAACUAGAUCUAUGAUUCUUGCAAUGGGAGAAGUUCUUGGUUUUGGUUUUGGGUUUAUGCAUACUUCCAAACCCUCACAAACUUGGUCACCUGGCGAUCCACAAUUGACUGCUGGAUUGCUCUAGACCAUGACACCUAACCGACUGGAGGAUGCACAGUCCUCCAAGGUAAAAGGCUUCAGUCCCACACAGGAACAACUUCUUCAGUGAUGCUCAAUCACUUGGUUUUCGGUUUGUGGUUUGGUGUUUGGGGUAUUUCCUCACUGAUGAAUUAUUCUCGAAGAGUCUGAGGAAUUUGGGUUGCUCUUAUGACAAGUGUUGGUUUCUAACGGAGCAGCCAACCAGCUAAUGGUUGUGGGGGCGGCUAUUUAUAGCCUGGGAGCAUCCCGACAUGAUUUGACAUUAAUGCCCUUAAAUAAUAUGAUUGUUGGUGUGGAUAAGACCAAUGAUGUGGCGCGACUAUCGGUAACGAUCGGGACCCUCAACUGUGAGAGUCCUCAUGUCUCUCAUAUUCCUCACUUGAGGCUUUUGGUAGGAUUAGGCUUGGGUUGAGCAUCAUGAGCAAAUUCAUUCCAAUCUGUUACUUUGACCCCCUUUAACAGUACGGUGUUCCUAUUAAUCAAGUGUGAAGAAAAUAAAACAGAAAGGAUAAAUCUUCAUGCUUCAAAUUCUUCCGAUUGAUUUUCUUCAGGACGCACCGAACUCCUCAUUUUCAAUAUCUUCAUGAGUAAUAUCAAUUUCAUCGCAAUUUCUUUGCGAUUCAAUUCUUCAGCUUCAGACCAAUUUCUUCAGCCGAAGAUAUACAUUUUUAGGGGUCGAUAUUCAUCGAAUAUUUCAAACUCCUCAGCGACUUAUAGAUCCUGUGUACACUCACGAACACAUUAGAUACUUAACCUAUAAGUCUUCAAACCACCAAAAUCACUAAGGGGCACUAGAUGCACUUACAAUCUCCCCCUUUUUGUGGUUGAUGACCAUUAGGUUAAGUCUUCAACGAGGAUAAAAAUAUGAAGUGUAAAUACUCAUUUGAGGAAUUUGAAAUCAAGAUUCAGAUAGACUCCCCGUGAAGAUGUGCAUAUCUUGAGGAUUUUGCUUUUCACAACAAAUGCACAUUGAUGAUUUAUAUCAUGGAGAUCUCCCCCUGAGUCUUGUAAAUCAUGCAUACAUACAACAUAUAGUAUGAAGAAAUUGAGGAUGCAUGAUGACUAAUGGUAUCUGACGAAUUCCAGCAUGCGUGCAUUAAAAUUUUGAGGAAUAAGCAUGCGAAGAAAAAUGUUCAAAAGCGUUAGAGUACCAUCGGGCUUAAGUUACAACUCAUUACAUAAAACACUUCAAAAGAGCCAAGAGUUUGUAACUUAAAUAAAGUUUAUAAGCCCCCAAAAUAUCCCGCGUGAAGACUAACUCUCAAAUUUCUCCCCCUUUGUCAUCAAGUGACAAAAAGGGACAAACUGAGGACUAACGCCCGUGAAGACUUUCACUUCUUGGAAAUUGAGGAAGACGCGUGAGGAUUCUUGGGAGAAGACUUCCUCCUUGGACUAGUGGCAGUAUCUUGUUGAUCUUCAUCUGAUUCAGCAGUGCGGAAUGAAGAAAACAAAAUGUCCUCAAGGUCUGGAACUGGGAUUGGCCUGAAUUUCUUCUUUGGUGGCCACGACCAGUUGAAGUCCUACACAAACUCCAAUUCUUCAAGUUCUGCUGGAGUCUUCAAAUGAGCCAGUGUGGCCCAGGUGCGAUCAAAAACCUCAUGAAGAUAAUGAUGGUUAAGCUUCACGACAUUCUAUGUUUCAUUGAGGGUUUUCACAAUGGCGUCGAACUAGCGUUUGAUCCACUUGUGAUUCUGAUCCACCUUUUGGUGAAGACUGAGAAGAAGCUCUCUGGUAUUCAUCACCUUGGAGCAACAGGACUAGUAGGAUGGGUUUCAAUGUCAUCCCAUGAGGAAUAUGCAUCUGGCUCACGGAACUGGCCAUCAAGGGGCCGACUGCCUUCAUCAAUGACGGACUUGCCUUUUCCUUCAACAGGUUCAAAAGUCUUCUUGUUGACCCGGAGAGGAGGCAUAUAACCUAUAUGAUUGUUGAAAUCAGUGUGAUAGUUGAUGCCUGACCUGCUUCUAAUGAAUCUCAUGAUCCAUGGAGCGUAAAUCUUCAGGUCAAAAGGGGACAUAGCAUUUUUCGCCAGAGUCCUCAAGAAGAAAUCAUGGAUGUUCAUGGGAAUGCCAUGGAUGAUGUUGAAGAGGAUAUUCUUCAUGAUGCCUACGACGUCUUCUUCAUCAUCAUGACCCUUGAUAGGCGCAAGAACACUGUAGAGGAUUCUAUAAACCGUCUUGGGUUCAUACUUCAGCUCAUGGACCAGGAAGGUUGUUCUUAGUGGUUGCCCCUUAGCCAAAGGCUUCAUGAGGACUUCCAUCAGCUUGUUUGCCAGCUCACGUUCAUCAUAAGCUUUACUGCCUGCUCUGAGGGAAUUGACACCGGAAGUUCACGCAGCAGCUCAUUGGCAGGAGCCUUGAAGUGUGUGUUCUGCGUCAUCCAAUCCAGCACCCAAGUGUUGAUGUCUGUUGGAUCUCCCGAGAUGUGCAAAGUGGCAUAGAAUUGAAGAACAAUGUCACUAUUCCAAUCGCAGAUAUCUGAGCACAUAGGUAGCGGUCCUGCUUCAUAAACAACAUUGAGGACUGGGUCAAAGCAAGGAAUUUCUUCAAGCUCAACGUGAGGAAUAUGCUUGUGCUAGAAAAUCUUGUUUCUUCCACACAACACAGAUGCAUAGUAGUUGAGUUGUGUCCUGGUCCAAAACUUCAGAUGCCUGAUGCGAGGCUUGUCAUAGGGAUUUUUUCCGAUGAAGUACAUGCGUUCUUCAAAGAAGGAUUCCUUUUGAAACUUUGGCCGCUUGGAAAACGGUUGGCGCUGCAUUGGCUGAAGAUUUUGCGGCUUCCUUGAGGAGAGACAAUCAUUGCAGUUUCUGGAUUGAGGACGACAAGAGCAUUCUCUGGAUCUGGUGCAUUGUCCUCAGCAUGUUCCUCAGGAUGAGGAAUUUCAUUUGCUUGUGCUUCAGGCUGAGGAGCAUGCUCUGGUUGAGGAAUGUCAUCAACGGGAGCUUCUGGGUGAGGAUUUCGCUCUGGAGGAGGAAUUGGUUCAUCCUGAGCCUCAGGUUGAGGAUUUUCCUCAGGAGGAGGAAUUGGGUCAUCCUGAGCCUUAGGUUGAGGAUUUUGCUCAGGAGGAGGAAUUGGGUCAUCCUGAGCCUCAGGUUGAGGAUUUUUCUCAGGAUUUUGAAUUUCAUCAGGCUGAGGAUUUUCACUUUGUUUUUCUUCAGCCUGAGGGGCUUGCUUGGUGGAGGAUCCAGAUUCAUCAGCUGGUGCAACUGAUCCUUGAGCAGUUUCUUCAGGAGGAAUGAUGGUCUGAGGACUAUCAUCAAUUCGAAUUUCCUCAUCAGUGUGUUCCUCAGACACAACAUUCUUCAUUUCCUCAUCAGCGUAUUCUUUGUCUUCAUUGUCGAAGGGAGUCAUCUCAUAAGAUGGAGCAACAUUGAGAGGCACAAGGUCCAGAGGUGCAUUUUCAUCAAGAGAUCUGAGGCGCUUGGCCUCAGUUGAUUCUUCUGCAGAGGAAGCUUUUCUCUUCUUGGCUUCCUUUUCAGCAGCUCUGGUCUUUUUCACGUCUGAUGCAGACAGAGUCAUUUUCUUCACCUUUGAAGCUUUUGGUGAAGGCAUUUUCUCAGUUGAAGCAGUUUCAUCAGCUGGAGCAGAGUCAUCACCUGGCUUAGAAGCAGCUGGAGCAGUUUCACCAGCUCUAGCACAGUCAUCAGCUGAAUUUUCCUUGAUAAUUUCCUCAAUAGCCGGUUCAUCAGCACGACUUUCUUGAGGGAUUUCCUCAGCAUGAGCAGUUUCAUCAGCUGGUUCCUCAAUCAGAGGCUAAGGUGUUGGUGCUGGAGGGGCACCCUUCUUGUUGUAAUCAUCAACUGUGUGAGUGGAAAAUUUGAUGAAAUUGUUUUUUGAGACUUUGACGAUCAGAGAGCUUAGUGUACUUGUCAGCCAAAGUCUUCAAUUCAGCCUGUGUGGAUACAAGUGCAUCAGGCGUCAAGUUGAGGAGAUUCUGUCUGAGGAAUUUCUCCUUGUUGAGCUUUGCAACCUUAGCUUGUUUAGCUUGCUACUCUUUCCACUUGGCCUCGUUGAUGAAAGUGGCCACCAUGUGGCUUAUGCCUGGGGGAAGCUUCAAAUCAUCAAUUGGAGUGUUGGGGUCCUCAUACCAGAUGUUGAUGUAAUCCAGGAGGACUUUUGGGUCCAUGGCCAGAGGAAUGGAGCUGCCUAAAGCUUGUGCUCCCCUCUCCUACUUGUUUCUGAUGAUGGCUUGCAGAGUCUCAUCAUCAAAUUCAUCACUACCUUCUGAUGCAGAAGGGACUUUGAUGAUUUUCCUAGGGCUUGGUCUGGUUCCUCUCCCAGUAGUCACCUUAGUAUUCAGGGGAGUCGGUGAAGACUUUAUCUCGGAGCUUGUUGCAGACAGGACUGGGGAGUUGGAGACACUAGGGAGUUGCUUCACUAUCUGCUUCUGUUCAUGCUUUGAAGCCUUUUGUGGUGCUGAGGGUUUUGGUGUUGAUGCUAGUGCAGCUUUCUAAGGCAUUUUAUCUUGAGGCUUUGAAGCCUUUAGUUUUGGUGGCACAAACUUCAUUUGAGGAAUGGCCGUACCAGAAGUCUCAGCUGCAUAGGAGGUGGCGGCAGUUGCAGCAGCAGCAGAUUCUUCAUUGAAUUUCCUCGCAGCGGCUUCUGCUUGCUUCUGAAGCUUUGACAAGUGUUUUGAGUUUUCUCCAGGAUAGUCAUCAAUUGUCUUCAGGCUUGAGGGGUAUGCAUCCUGAUAAUCCUCAAGAGGAGGCCGUUUGCCAGGAGGCUUCAGAGCGAAUUUGUUCGCAUACUUGGGAGUAACGAAUCUGUACUCUUUCCACUCCUUAGCCCAUCGGCGUUCUAUCUUUAGAAGCCUUAUCUUCCUCUUGGGCAUAGAUUCUUGCGCAUCAGGUGUGCAGUAUUCCAAGUAUAUAUCCUCACGGAUAUCUAUGGCAGUCUUCUGCUCGAGCUUCUUGCCACCCUAUUGCUUCCUUUCAUCUUCCAUUUUCUUCAGCUGAGGCUUUUGCUGAGGAAAUUGAACUCUUGAGGAUUCUGAUGAAACUUGCAGAUUUUCUUCAAGAAACGCUGCAAAUGACUUAAGUUGAUGAGAACCUAGAGAUUCAUUAGCUGACAUGUUUGUACCUGUGAACACAGUAUAGUUGCGAGGAAUUUGGAGAGGUCAUAUGCGUUCUCAGAUUUGAUGAAAUGAUUUUUUUUUAAAGUUGAGGAAUUUGGCCUGUGGUUGAGGAAUUCUUCUAAGCACACUAUUCUUGGGUUCCAGAGUUGUACAGAUUCGAAAAUUUGCACAAUUGAGGAAUCUCGUGAAAAUCUUAGAUGCUUAGUGAAGUUCAUCAAUAGUUGAGGAAUAAGCAGUGUUUGAGGAAAAAGAAACUGAUGGAUACUUGAGGAAAACAGAUUUCACAUCUCUAAGGUAAAAUAGUAGAUCAAAAGAGCUGUAAAAAUAGGGUUUUUAUUUACCCUAGAUAGCGCGCACGAAGAACGGAGAAGGAAGUAGUAGUAGAUGCUCUUCGGUGCGAGUCCAAUGCAACCUAACUUGGCAACAGAGGACAGCUAUGGCGGCGACGGACGAAGAUGGUCCGGUUCCGGCAUGGUUUCGGCGACGGAGAGGUCGAGGCAGCCAAGCUUUUCCUCGCCGGCGUCGAGACUUCUAGCGGUGGUGCUAGGGAUUUUGAGCUUUGCUGUAGUAGGAGGGCGAUGGGACGAAGAAGAUUUUAUCGAAGGGAGAUGGGGACAUAUUUAUAGACAGGUGGUAACUGUUGGAGCGAAAGUAUCGGACCAAAUAGCCCCUGUCUCUACGUCUCCGCAGGACACGUGUAGCCCACGACCGAAGCAGUGGAGAUCGUAGUUAUCCGAACAGGGAAAGUCGGGUUCAGUUACUGUGUAACAAACAAAAAAAUAUUUUUGAAGAUUUGAGGAUUUUGUUACAAAAUCAUCAGCUGACAAGAACGGAGUGAGGAUUUUGAACAAAGUUUCAAGUAGAACGCAUAUGAAGAAUUGAAUAGACUGGGUGAGAGUAGCAUAGAGGGAAAGUAGGGUCCGAUCACAUUCACUUAGAGGAAAUACCAAAUUGAAGAAUAUAGCUAUAAGUGAAUGCUGUUGAGGACUUUGAAAUCACAAUCUAUCUAGUUAAACGAAAAUCAUCAAGUGUUUUUGAAGAUUUUGAUUAACUUGAGGAUUUUGUGACAAAGCGUCAUGAUGAUGAAUUUCAGUUUUGAACAAAAACAAGUUUGAAAAACAACUGUUUUGAAGAAAAUCAACUUUUGAAGAAAUUCAGCUUUGAAGAAAUUCAACUUGAGGAAUUUCAAGUUGGGUGGUGGCGUGACCCACCAUAUAAGAAUGUUGAUUUCAGACGCCGCGUACAAUUGACGUAAGGCCCUCAGAAUCAAUUUCUUCGUUGAUUUCCUCACACUCAGAGUGAUAUUCUUCAUUGGUUGAAGAAAAUCGAUUCUUCGUGUGUUGCACAUCUAAGUCAUCAAUUUUGCAUAAGUGUUAGGAUGUGUGCAUAUUUUACAAAACAUUUGAAGAUUCUAAGAUAUUUAGCUCACACCGCAACUUGCAAAACCUUUUCUCAUCCAAGGGCUUAGUGAAGGUAUCUGGCAGUUGAUCGUCAGUCUUCACAUGGUCGAUGAGGAUAUUGCCCUUGAGAACAUGGUCCCGAAGAAAAUGAUGACGAACCUGGAUGUGCUUGGUCUUCGAGUGAUGUACUAGGUUGUAUGCAAUCUUGAUUGCACUCUCAUUGUCGCAGUAGAGAGGCACAUUUUUCAUGUUGAUGCCAUAAUCCUUGAGGGUUUGCUUCAUCCAUAGCAAUUGAGCACAGCAUGAACUAGCAGCGAUGUACUCAACUUCGGCAGUGGAAAGUGAAACGCAGUUCUGCUUCUUUGAGGACUAGCACACUAGUGAUCUUCCGAGGAAAUGUCAUGUGCCAGAGGUUGACUUGCGAUCCACACGGUCACCAGCAUAGUCAAAAUCAGAAUAUCCCACAAGAUGAAGAUUUGAGCCCUUGGGGUACCAUAAUCCUAGUGUUGGUGUGUGAGCUAAGUAUCGAAGAAUCUUCACAACCUUAUGGUGUGAUUCCUUCGGUUUUGCUUGAAAACAUGCACACAUGCAAACAUUAAGCAUUAUAUGUGGCCUAGAUGCACAUAAAUACAGUAAAUAGCCAAUCAUAGAGCGAUAUACCCGCUGAUCGAACUCUUUACCAUUUUCGUCAGUGCAGAGGUGGCCGUUGGUAGGCAUUGAGUCUUGGCACCUUUGCAUUCAUGCAUGUCGAAUUUCCUCGGAACAUCUGAAAGUGCGUUAUAUCGACUAGAGGGAGGGUGAAUAGGAGAUUUUUAGAAUUUCAUCGCUGAGGAAAUUCCUUUUGAGGAAAUUCCUCACUCAUGACUAACUUACAGCGGAAACAGUUACGGAUCAGGCGUGCAAACUUUCACAAUAGCAGUAUUACACAGUGAAGAAUGUGAAAAACAGAUUGCACAGUAAGCAGGCACGCAUAAUACAGAUGAUGAUUAACUUAAGUGAAGAAUUUGGGGUUGAGGAAAUUCAGAGAAAGUCUUCAGCAAAUUCUUCAAACAGUCACAGUGAAAGUCAUCAACACAUAAUACAAAGAGAGUAAAGAGUUGAGGAAUUAGAACCCGAUUCUUGGUGAAGACUGUUGUUGAUGACCCAGUUCCAACUGCUGUGACAGUUGUACAUCUAGCUUGGAGCGGCUUGGUAUUGAAACCAAAGGACACCCAGUCCCGGCACACACAGUCCCUACUGUAUUAUCCUUGAGCUAAGGACACACAGUCCUCGCCCAACACUCGUGGUAAGUCUUCAGGGCAGACUUCCAAACCCUCACAAACUCGGUCACCCGGUGAUCCACAAUUGACUGUUGGAUUGCUCUAGACCAUGACGUCUAACCGUCUGGAGGAUGCACAGUCCUCAAAGGUAAAAGGCUUCAGUCCCACACAGGAACAACUUCUUCAGUGAUGCUCAAUCACUAGGUUUGGUUUGUGGUUUCGGUGGGUGGUGUAUUUCCUCACUGAUGAUUUACUCUCGAAGGUUCUGAGGAAUUUGGGUUGCUCUUAUGACAAGUGUCAGUUUCUAACGGAGCAGCCAACCAGCUAGUGGUUAUGGGGGCUGGCUAUUUAUAGCCUGAGAGCAUCCCGACAUGAUUUGACACUAAUGCCCUUAACUAAUAUGACCGUUGGAGUGGAUAAGACCAAUGACUUGGCGUGGUUAUCGAAACGGUCGGGACCCUCAACUGUGAGAGUCCUCAUGUCACUCAUAUUCCUCACUUGAGGCUUUUGGUAGGAUUAGGCUUGGGUUGAGCAUCAUGAGGAAAUCCAUUCCAUAGUGUUACUUUGACCCCCUUUAACACUACGGUGUUCCUAUUCAUCAAAUGCGAAGAAAGUAAAACAGAAAACGAAAAUCUUCACGCUUCAAUUUCUUCAGAACGAUUUUCUUCAGGAACCACCGAUCUUCUUAAUAUCAAUAUCUUCAUGAGGAAUAUCAAUUUCAUCGCAGAUUCCUCGCGAUUCAUUUCUUCAGCUUCAGAGCAAAUUCUUCAACUGAAGACAUAUAUUUUUAGGGGUCGAUAUUCUUCAAAUAUCUCAAACUCCUCAAUGACUUAUAGAUCAUGUGUACACUUAUAAACACAUUAGAUACUUAACCUAUAAGUCUUCAAACCACCAAAAUCACUAAGGGGCACUAGAUGCACUUACAAUCUCCCCCUUUUUGGUGGUUGAUGACAAUUAGGUUAAGUCUUCAACAGGGAUAAAAAAAUAUGAAGUGUAAAUACUCAUUUGAGGAAUUUGAAGACAAGAUUCACACGGACUCCCCCUGAAGAUGUGCAUACCUUGAGGAUUCUGCUUUUAUAGCAGAUACACAUUGAUGAUUUAUAUCAUGGAGAUCUCCCCCUGAAUCUUGUAAAUCAUGCAUACAUAUAACAUAUUAUAUGAAGAAAAUGAAGAUGCAUGAUAGCAAAUGGUAUCUGACGAAUUCCAGCAUGCAUGCAUUAAAACUUGAGGAAUAAGCAUGCGAAGAAAAACGUUCAAAAGCGUCAGAGUACCAUCGGGCUUAAGUUACAACUCAUUACAUAAAAACUUCCGAAGAGCCAAGAGUUUGUAACUUAAAUAUAGUUCAUAGGCCCCAAAAAUAUCCCGCUUGAAGACUAACUCUCGAGUUUCUCCCCCUUUGUCAUCCAGUGACAAAAAGGGACAAACUGAGGACUAACGCCCGCGAAGACUCCAUUUCUUGGCGGUUGAUGAAGAUCCUUGACGCUUCUUGGGUGUAGUCUUCUUCCUUGGGCCGGUUGCUGUGUCGAGUUGUUCCUCAUCAGAUUCGGCGGUGCGGAAUGAAGAGAAGGAGUUGUCUUCAAGAUAUGGCACUGGAAUGGGCCUGAACUUCUUCUUGGGAGGCCACGACCAGUCAAAGUCCUGCUCAAAGUUCAUUUCUUCAAGCUCAGUGUGGGUCUUCAGAUGUGCAAGGGUAGCCCAGGUGCGAUCAAAAACCUCAUGCAGAUAGUGAUGAUUAAUCUUCAUAGAGUUCUGGGUUUCAGUGAGGGUUUCCAAAAUGGCACCAAACUGGCGUUUGACCCAUUUGUGAUUGUGAUCCACCUUCUGAUGAAGACUGAGGAGAAGCUCUCUGGUGGUUAGCACUCGAGGAGGAACAGGGCUUGGUGGACGAGUCUCAGUAUCGUCCCAUGAAGAAUAUGCGUCUGGCUCUUUGAACUCACCAUCAAGGGGCCUGCUGCCUUCGUCAAUCACAGACUUUCCUUUUCCCUAAAUGGGCUUGAAAGUCUUCUUGUUGACCCGGAUAGGAGGCACAUAACCAACAUGGUUUUGGAAAUCAGCGUGGAAGUUGAUGCCUGUCCUUGUCCUGAUGAAUCUCAUGAUCCAUGGGGCAUAAAUUUUGUGAUCAAAGGGGCACAUGGCAUUGUCGGCCAAAGUCCUCAAGAAGAUAUCACGGAUAUUCAUAGGAAUACCGUGAAUGAUGUUGAAGAGGAUAUUCUUCAUUAGGCCGACAACAUCUUCUUCAUCGUCAUGGCCUUUGAUUGGCGCGAGCACACUGCAGAGAAUGCAGUAGACAGACCGGGGUGUGUACUUGAGCUCAUGGACGAGGAAUGUGGUUCUUGAGGGUUUUCCUGCAGCCAAAGGCUUCAUGAGGACUUCCAUCAUUCCAUUUGGCAGCUCACGCUCACCAUAAAGCUUCACUGCCCCAUCUGAAGGAAUUGGUACGGGCAGUUCUCUAAAAAGUUUAGAAGCAGGAGCCUUGUAGUGAGUGUUUUGGGUCAUCCAAUCAAACACCCAAGUGUUGAUGUCAACAGCAUUUCCAGAGAUGUGCAGAGUUGCAUAGAACUGAAGAAUGAGCUCAUUGUUCCAGUCUGAUAUGUCGGAGCACAUAGGAAGCAAACCUGCAUCGUGGAGUACACUGAGGACUGGUUCCAUGCAAGGUAUUGCUUCAAGCUCAACAUGAGGAAUGUGGCAGUGCUGGAAUAUCUUGUUGCGUCCACAGAGCACACAGGUGUUGUAGUUUAUCUGAGUCCUUGUCCAAUACUUCAGAUGCCUCAUUUGAGGCUUGUCAUAUGGGUUCUCUCCGAUGAAAUACAUGCGUUCCUCAAAGAAAUUUUCUUUCUGAAACUUUGGACGCUUGGAGAAGGGCUGGCGCUGAACUGGCUUGAUAUUGUGCUGAGGAAUGGGAGGGGAAACAACCAGGGCAGUCUCUGGGUUGAGUACAAUGAAGUCAUUGUCAGGGGCGGGAACAUUUUCUUCAGCAGUUUCCUCAGGUUGAGGAAUUUCAUCAGCUGGUACUUCUUGCUCUGGCUGAGCUUCAGGCUGAGGAAUUUCUGCUUCUUUCUCGGCAUGAGGAGUUUGGUCAGCCUGUUCAGAAUGUGCAUUUUCCUCAGCUUGUUUUUCUUCAGCUGGCGUUGUGGCAGAAGCAGAUUCAUCAGCUGCUGCAGCUGAAGCUUGAGCAGUUUCUGUCUGAGGAACAAGAGGUUUAGGACUGUUAUCAAUCUGGAUCUCCUCAUCAGUAUGUUCCCCGGAGGCAACAUCCUUCAUUUCCUCAUCUGCCCUUGUAGUUGGGGCACCAAUGACGACCAUUUCAUAUGAAGGUGCAACAUUUAGAGGCACCGGAUCCAGAGGGGCAGAUUCUUAAGUUUCUUUGAGGCGCUUUGCCUCUAUCUUUUCUUCUGCUGAGGAAGCUUUUCUCUUCUUUGCUUCCUUCUCAGCAGCUCUUGUCUUCUUCGCGUCUGAUGCAGACGGGAUUAACUUCUUCACCUUUGAAGCUUUUGGUGAAGGUGUUCUUUCUGCAGAUUCUUCAGUUGGUAGUGAGGAACCAGCUGGAACAGAGUCAUCAGCCUGCUUUGAUGAAGCAGCUGGAUCAGGAGCAGUUUCUUCAGUGGUUGCAAUUUCAUCAGUUGCAGUCUCGGUGAUGAUUUCUUCAAUGGCCGGUUCAUCAGCACGGCGCUCCUGGUGUUCUUCCUCAGCUUGAGGAGUUUCCUCCUCAUCAAGAGAUGUAUCUGCUGGCUGCUCAACCAAGGGCUGAGGAGUUGGUGCUGGGGUUGGGUGUCGUUUGUUGUAGUCAUCAACAACACUAGUGGCUAGCUUGAUGAAAUUGCGUUUGAUGCUUUUGCGGUCUGACAGUUUGUCACACUUGUCAGUCAAGACUUGCAGCUCUGCCUGGGUUGACACCAGUGCUUCAGGAGUCAGCUUGAGGAGAUUUUGCCUGAGGAAUUUCUCCUUUUUGGCCUUUGCAAUCUUUGCCUGAUUGGCCUUCUGUUCCUUCCACUUGGCUUCGUUUAUGAAGGUGGCCACCAUGUGGCUGAUGCUAGGAGGAAGUUUCAAAUCAUCAAUGGGUGUGUUUGGGUCCUCAUACCAUACAUUGAUGUAGUCGAGAAGGACCUUGGGGUCCAUGGCCAGAGGAAUAGCACUGCCUGAUGCUUGUGCUACCCGUUCUUGCUUGUUUCUGAUGAUGGCUUGCAGGGUUUCAUCAUCAUACUCAUCACUUCCCUCUGAUGCAGACGGGACUGCGAUGAUUUUGCUGGGGCUGGGCAGAGGUGCACGUUCAGUAGUUGCCAAAGUCUUCACAAGUGGUGUUGAAGACUUUGUCUCCGAGCUUGUUGCAGCUGGGAGUGAGGAGCUGGAGCUGGCGGUCAUAGGCUUCACGACAUUUUUCUGUACCGGUUUUUCUUGAGACUUUGGAGGUGGAGCUGAGGAUUUUGGUGCACAGGAGAUUGGUGCUGAGGGUUUUGGCGCUGAUGGUUUUGGUGUUGAAGGUUUUGGAACCAUGGGUUUUAGAGCUGAGGGUUUUGUGACAGAGGGUUUUGUAGCUGAGGUUUUGUGACACAAGCCUGUGCAGACUUCUCUUGAGGCUUUGGAGCCUUUGGCUUUGUUGGCACAGACUGCGAGUGAGGAAUCUCUGAGCCUGAAGUUUCUGCCGCUGAGGAAUUUGCAGCACCAGAGGCAGCAGCUGAGGAUUCAUUAAAUUUCUUCACUGCAGCUUCAGCUUGCUUCUUGAGCUUGGCCAGAUGCCUUUCUUUCUCAUCUGGGUAGUCAUCAAUUGUCAUAAGACUUGAGGGAUGUGCUACUUGAUGAUCCUCAAGUGGGGCCCUUCUGCCAGGAGGCUUCAAAGCGAAUUUCUUCGCAUAUUUUGGAGUCACAAACCUGUACUCCUUCCAUUCCUUCGCCCAUCUGCGUUCAAUCUUCUGCAGCCUAAUCUUUCUCUUGGCCAUUGUCUCAGGUUCUUCAUCAGGCGUACAAUAGUCCAAGUAUAUGUCCUCAGGAAUAUCAGCAGCUGUGUUCUGCUCUAGUUUCUUUCCUCCCUUCUGUUUCCUUUCUUCCUCCAUUUUCUUCAGACGAGGAAUUUGCUGAUGAUUUUGAACUCUUGAGGAUUCUGAUGAGCCUUGAAGAGUUUCUUCCAGAAAUGCUGCAAAUGAGUUAAUGUGAUGAGAACCGAGAGAUUCACGAGCUGACAUGUGUGUACCUAUGAACAGAGUAUAGUUGCGAGGAAUUUGGAGAGGUCAUAUGCGUUCUCAGAUUUGAAGAAAAUGAAAAAGUUUGACAGUUUGAGGAAUAUAACCAGUGGUUGAGGAAUUUGCCUAAGCAUACUGUUCUUGGGUUUCAGAGUUGUACAGAUCCGAAAAUUUGCACAAUUGAGGAAUCUCGUGAAAAUCUUAGAUGCUUAGCUAGUUCAUCAAUGAUUGUGGUGAUAGAUAGUGUUUGAGGAAUCACGUGCACAUCGUAUCUUGAGGAAAACAGAUUUCUCAUAGAAGGGGUAAAUUUCAGAUCUAAUCUCCUGUAAAAAUGGGAUAUAUUUACCCUGGAAGGUGCGAACGAAGAACACAGAAAGUAGUGUUGGAGAGGCUCUUCGGUCGAGUGUCCAAUGCACCCUAACUUGGUGGCAGAGGACGUCUACGGCGGCGACGGACGUACAUGUCCCGACUCCGGCGUGAUCCUGGCAACGAAAAGGUCAAGGCAGGUAAGCUCUUCCUUACCGGCGACAAGACUACCAGCGGUGGCGCUAGGGUUCGGUGGAGAGUGCGAUGGCAGGAGAGCGAUGAUGCGAAGAAGAGGAUACCGAGGGGGAUAAGGACCUGUUUAUAGCCUGAAAGUUACUGUUUGGCGCGAAAGUUUUGGACCAAAUAGCCCCUGCCCCUACGUCUCCGCAGGACACGUGUAAUUCCCGUACGAUGCGGUGGAGAUAGUGGAGAUCGUGGUUAUCCAAUCGUGGGAAGUGGGGGUUCAGUUACUGUGCCUUUAAAGAAAACAAUUUUUGAAGUUUUGAGGCUUUUCAUUACAAAAUCAUCAGCUGACAAGGAUGCAGUGAGGAUUUUGAACAAAGUUUCAAAUAGAACGCAUAUGAAGAAUUGAAUAGACUGGAUAAGUACAGCAUUGAGGGAAAGUAGGGUCCNNNNNNNNNNNNNNNNNNNNNNNNNNNNNNNNNNNNNNNNNNNNNNNNNNNNNNNNNNNNNNNNNNNNNNNNNNNNNNNNNNNNNNNNNNNNNNNNNNNNCGUUCCAAAAUCAGAUCUGAAAAGAGUCAAAAACACGGAAAAAACAGGAACCGGCACUUGGCACUGAAUUAAUAAGUUAGUCCCAAAAAGAUAUAAAAGGUACAUAAAACAAUCAAAGAAGACAAGAUAACAGCGUGAAACCAUAAAAAAUUACAAAUACGUUUGAGACGUAUCAGUCAUCAGUGAGGAAUUUCCUUAGUGAUGAAAUUCUAAAAGCUCCUAUUCACCCCCCCUAGUCGAUAUAACGCACUUUCAUAUUGGAUGAAAUCUCUGUCAUGAAUUUGUUCCGGCUUGUGUUGUAAGCCUCAUCCUUUGGUUUGCUGGAAUAUGGUCAUUCGAGUUGCUUUCGAUGUCAAGUGGUGAAUUCAUUUUGUCUGAGGGAAUUGACACCGGAAGUUUCACGCAGCAGCUCAUUGGCAGGAGCCUUGAAGUGUGUGUUCUGCGUCAUCCAAUCCAGCACCCAAGUGUUGAUGUCUGUUGGAUCUCCCGAGAUGUGCAAAGUGGCAUAGAAUUGAAGAACAAUGUCACUAUUCCAAUCGCAGAUAUCUGAGCACAUAGGUAGCGGUCCUGCUUCAUAAACAACAUUGAGGACUGGGUCAAAAGCAAGGAAUUUCUUCAAGCUCAACGUGAGGAAUAUGCUUGUGCUAGAAAAAUCUUGUUUCUUCCACACAACACAGAUGCAUAGUAGUUGAGUUGUGUCCUGGUCCAAAACUUCAGAUGCCUGAUGCGAGGCUUGUCAUAGGGAUUUUUCCGAUGAAGUACAUGCGUUCUUCAAAGAAGGAUUCCUUUUGAAACUUUUGGCCGUACGUUUAGGGGAAAAAAACCGGGUUUUGGGGACCCGGUACCCGUUUGGGGUACCCUAAAGUUUUUUACGGGGGGCCCNNNNNNNNNNNNNNNNNNNNNNNNNNNNNNNNNNNNNNNNNNNNNNNNNNNNNNNNNNNNNNNNNNNNNNNNNNNNNNNNNNNNNNNNNNNNNNNNNNNNUGUGUGGGACUGAAGCCUUUUACCUUUGAGGACUGUGCAUCCUCCAGACGGUUAGGCGUCAUGGUCUAGAGCAAUCCAGCAGUCAAUUGUGGAUCGCCGGAUGACCGAGUUUGUGAGGGUUUGGAAGUCUGCCCUGAAGACUUACCACGAGUGUUGGGCGAGGACUGUGUGUCCUUAGCUCAAGGAGAAUACGGUAGGGACUGUGUGUCCCGGGACUGGGUGUCCUUUGGUUUCAAUACCAAGCUUCUCCAAGCCAGAUGUACAACUGUCACAACAGUUGGAACUGGGUCAUCAACAACAGUCUUCACCAAGAAUCGGGUUCUAAUUCCUCAACUCUUUACUGUCUUUGUAUUAUGUGUUGAUGACUUCCACUGUGACUGUUUGAAGAAUUUGCUGAAGACUUUCUCUGAAUUUCCUCAACCCCAAAUUCUUCACUUAAGUUARUCAUSAUSUGUAUUCUGCGUGCCUGCUUACUAUGCAAUCUGUUUUUUCACAUUCUUCACUCUGUAAUACUGCUAUUGUGAAAGUUUGCACGUCUGAUCCGUAACUGUUUCCGCUGUAAGUUAGUCAUCAGUGAGGAAUUUCCUCAAAGGAAUUUCCUCAGCGAUGAAAUUCUAAAAAUCUUCUAUGNNNNNNNNNNNNNNNNNNNNNNNNNNNNNNNNNNNNNNNNNNNNNNNNNNNNNNNNNNNNNNNNNNNNNNNNNNNNNNNNNNNNNNNNNNNNNNNNNNNNGGAGAGGAUCACAUUCACUUAGCAGAAACAUCAACUUGAAGAAAUAGCAAUAAGUGAAUGUUGUUGAGGACUAGAAAUCACAGUCUACCUAGGCAAAUGAAAGUCAUCAAGUGUUUUUAAAGAUUUUGUAAUAGAUCAUCACAAUGAAGAACAACUGUUUUGAAGAAAAAUGCAUUGUGAAGAAAUUGAUCAUUUGAAGAAAAUCAACUUGAGGAAUCUCACAUUGGGCGGUGGCGUUACCCACCAUAUAAGAAUGUUGAUUACAGGCGCCGCGUACAAUUGUCGUAGGGCCCUGAGAAUCAAUUUCUUCAUUAAUUUCUUCACAUUUAGAGUUACUUUCUUCAUCAGUUGAAGAAAAUCGUUUCAUCAUGUGUUGCACAUCUAAGUCAUCAACUUUGCAUAAGCGUUAGGAUGUGUGCAUGUUUUUACAAAACAUUUGAAGAUUCUAAGAUAUUUAGCUCACACCGCAACUUGCAAAACCUUUUCUCAUCCAAGGGCUUAGUGAAGAUAUCUGCCAGUUGAUCAUCAGUCUUCACAUGGUCGAUGAGGAUAUUGCCCUUGAGGACAUGGUCCCGAAGAAAAUGAUGACGAAUCUGGAUGUGCUUGGUCUUCGAGUGAUGUACUAGAUUAUAUGCAAUCUUGAUAGCACUCUCAUUGUCACAGUAGAGAGGUACAUUCUUCAUGUUGAUGCUGUAAUCCUUGAGGGUUUGCUUCAUCCAUAGCAAUUGAGCACAGCAAGAACCAGCAGCAAUGUACUCAGCUUCGGCAGUGGAGAGUGAUACGCAGUUCUGCUUCUUUGAGGACCAGCAAACUAGUGAUCUUCCGAGGAAAUGGCAUGUGCCAGAUGUUGACUUGCGAUCCACACGGUCACCAGCAUAGUCUCAAUCAGAAUACCCUACCAGAUGAAGAUUGGAGCCCUUGGGAUACCAUAAUCCUAGUGUUGGUGUGUGAGCUAAGUAUCGAAGAAUAUGUUUCACAGCCUUAUGGUGUGAUUCCUUCGGUUUUGCUUGAAAACGUGCACACAUGCAAACACUAAGCAUUAUAUCUGGCCUAGAUGCACAUAGAUCCAAUAAAGAGCCAAUCAUAGAACGGUAUACCUGCUGAUCGAAAUCUUUACCAUUUUCAUCAGUGCCGAGGUGGCCGUUGGUAGGCAUCGGAGUCUUGGCACCUUUGCAUUCGUGCAUGUCGAAUUUCCUCAGAACAUCCUUGAGGUAUUUCUCCUGUGAUAUGAAGAUUCCAUUGCUUUGUUGACGAAUUUGAAGACCUAAGAAGAAUUUCAGCUCCCCCAUCAUGGACAUCUGAUAUUCUUCACUCAUCAUGUAGGCAAAUUCAUCACUGUAUCUUUUGUCAGUACAGCCAAAUAUGAUAUCAUCAACAUAUAUUUGACAUACAAACAACUCAUUAUCAUAAGAUUUUGUGAAAAGAGUUGGAUCGAGUGAACCAGGUUUGAAGCCUUUCUUCAUGAGGAAUUCCUUCAAUGUGUCAUACCAUGCCCGAGGGGCUUGCUUGAGGCCAUACUAAGCCUUUUUGAGUCUGAAGACUUUGUCUGGAUUCUUUGGAUCCUCAAAACCUGGGGGCUGAGCAACAUAUACUUCUUCCUCAAGCUUACCAUUGAGGAAUGCACUUUUCACAUCCAUUUGAUAUAAGGUGAUGUUAUGAUGAUUAGCAUAAGCAAGUAGUAUUCGAAUAGCUUCAAGUCUAGCAACAGGUGCAAAAGUUUCAUCGAAAUCUAUUCCUUCAACCUGGGUGUGGCCUUGGGCUACUAGUCGUGCCUUGUUCCUCACCACUUGACCGUCCUCAUCUUGCUUGUUUCGGAAAAGCCACUUGGUGCCGAUAAUGUUAUGCUUGCGAGGAUCUGGUCGUUUGACGAGCUCCCAUACGUCAUUCAGCUUGAAUUGAAGAAGUUCGUCUUGCAUGGCUUGGAUCCACUCCGGUUCCAGAAAAGCCUCAGCUACUUUUGAGGGUUCUGUGAUGGACACAAAGGAAAAAUGCCCACAAAAGUUAACUAAGUGUGAAGCUUUUGAGCACGUGAGAGGACCUGGCGCGUUGAUGUCGUUGAGGAUUUUGUCAAGUUCAACUUCGUUUGCAAUCCUCGGAUGAGCUGGUUGAGGAUUUUGUCUGGGCUGAGGAAGUGGUGCUGUUGCAAUUUCCUGAGGAGCAUCUUCUUGGUUUUUAUCAGCGAUGGGGAUUGUUUCUUCACCAAUUUCCUCAGUGGGGACAAUGUCUUCAGUAGGCUUAAGCUUUAUUGCUUCCUCAGGAGACAGCUUAUCUGGAUCAGAAGGCAAUUGCUCUCUUUGCGAGCCAUUAGUUUCAUCGAACCGCACAUCUACAGUUUCAACAACUUUGUUGUGAUAGUUGUUGAAGACUCUGUAGGUGUGCGAGUCCUUUCCAUAACCGAGCAUAAAACUUCAUGUGCCUUAGGUGCAAAUUUUGAGCUAUGAUGAGGAUCUCUAAUCCAGCAUUUUGCACCGAAGACUUUGAAAUAACUUACAUUGGGUUUCUUGUCAGUGAUGAUUCAUAUGAGGUUUUCUUGAGGAAUUUGUGAAGAUAUACCCUGUUGAUGAUAUGGCAUGGAGUGUUGAUUGCUUCAGACUAGAAGCGACGAGGAGUCUGAUAUUCUUCAAGCAUAGUUCUUGCCAUUUCAACCAGAGUCCUGUUCUUUCUUUCGACGACACCAUUCUGCUGAGGAGUAUAAGGAGCAGACAAUUCGUGAGUAAUACCAAGUUCAUCAAGAUAAUCAUCAAGACCAGUGUUUUUGAACUCGGUUCCAUUAUCACUCCUGAUAUGUUUGAUCUUGAUGCCGAAGUUCGUCGAGGCCCUUGAAGAAAAUCGUUUGAAGAUUUCCUGCACUUCAGUUUUAUACACUAUAAUAUGCACCCAAGUGUAUCUGGAAUAAUCAUCAACUAUGACAAAGCCAUAUAGGGAUGCUGCAUUGGUUAGUGUGGCAUAGUGAGUAGGUCCAAAUAAAUCCAUAUGAAGCAAUUCAAAUGGACGUGUAGUGGUCAUUAUGGUUUUGGAGGGAUGCUUGGAUUUGGUCAUUUUCCCAGAUUCACAAGCACCGCAGAGAUGAUCCUUGAAGAAUUUGACUGAUUCAAUGCCAAUGACAUGCUUCUUCUUUGCAAGCGUGUGCAAAUUCCUCAUGCCUGCAUGACCUAGUCUUCGGUGCCACAACCAUCCUUCUGAGGUUUUUGCUAGUAAGCAAGUGGCUGGUUGAGGACCUGUAGAGAAAUCAACAAUGUACAAAUCCCCUCUUCUUACACCUUCGAAGACUUUGGAUCUGUCAGAUUCCAUGAUGACUACACAUCUAUAUCUACCAAAGAUAACAAUCAUAUCAAGAUCACAAAGCAUCGAGACUGACAUGAGGUUAAAACCAAGGGAUUCAACAAGCAUCACUUUGUCCAUAUGCCUAUCCUUGGAAAUAGCUACUUUGCCAAGUCCCAAUACCUUGCUUUUACCUUUGUCAGCAUAUGUGAUUUUCUUCAGAGGUGAUGGAGUUAGUGGCAUAUUCAACAGUAGGCUUUUAUCACCAGUCAUGUGAUGUGUGCAGCCACUGUCGAGAACCCACUCAGUAUUUUUGGGUUGGUCAUCCUGCAGAUGAAUUAGUACAGCUUACCAUCUCAUAUGCUUCAAAUUUGAAGAAUAUGAUACUAAUUUCAUCAGUUCAGUGAUUUCAUCAUAACAGAUAUGUAAGGACGUGUGAAAUAUUUCUAUUUCAUCAAUCAUUAGCUUGCGUCCUAUCAAGCGUUUCUCAGGUCUCCAGCAAAUUCUUCGGAUGAUGAUUUUCAUCUGGAGACCUGGGCUGCAGAGAUGAUUAGUUUGAUUUCUUCACCACCCACAUCUGAAGGGGUGGUAAAGCGUUCAUCAUCCUACGAGCACCAUAUGACAAAGGUGGCAUUGAAGCUAAUGCACUUCUCUUAACAGUAGGGGGAUUAAAGUACUCAUAUGAAUAUGCAGAGAACUGGUUUGAGGAUUUAUGAACAUAAUGAUUUGAGGAGUAACGCUCAUAUUCAUAUUCCUUGUGGUUUCCCUGCAUGUUAGACGCAUAAGCACGGGUACGAGCAUAGUUUUGACCAGUUGAGGAUUUGAUCCUCUUGAAGACUUUGGUCCUCCUGAGGAAUUUGAUCUGGGGUUCAGAUUCUUCAGUGGUGGUGUCAUGAGGACAUUCACCUGAAGAUUUUCAAGACAACUUUUGGGAACCCAGAUUUUCCUCAGAGGAGGCCCAUUCCUGCAGUUAGUUCCAACAUAUCGAGCAAAUACUUCACCAGAUUGAUUUUUGAACAGUUUAUAGUUGGAAUCAAAUGACUCAUCCGAGGAAUAGGAUAAUUCACAUGAGAAGCCAGUUAGAUUAGAUGAAUCGAAAGGAGGCCCAGUAGCAGCAACCCAUGAUGUUUUGGGAUACUGCUCGGGUUUCCAAUAAGAUCCAUCAGCAUUUAAUUUCCUCUCAAAGGCAAUUCCUUCUUUCCUCGGGUUCCUGUUCAAAAUCUGCUUUUUGAGCACAUCACAAAGGGUUUGAUGUCCUUUGAGGCUUUUGUACAUGCCAGUCACGUACAAUUCCUUCAACCCUGCAUUUUCAUCAGUAACAUUUGUGUUUUCCUCAAGUGAGGAAAUAGACACAACAGGUGCAGUUGAAGAAUUUGUAGCAAUUGAUGAUUCUGGUGAGGAAUUAGCAGUUUCACGUUCAAUGCAUUUAAGACAUGGAGCAAUAAAUUCAACUUGACUAGCGCUAAUCUGUUGAGCUUGUAAUGAAUUAUUUUCCAUACGAAAAUCAUCAUGAGACAUCCUCAGCUUCUCAAGAUCAAGCUUCCUUUGAAGAAAUUCGUAGGAAAGCUUCUCAUGAUCACUAAGGAGUGUAUCAUGACGAUCCUGAAGAUUAUCAAAUCUAGACUGAAGAUUUUUCAUGUCAUCAGCGAGGAUUUGAUUAAGAUUCAUUUCAUCAUUCAACAGAUCAUCACUUUUGUCUAGCAGUUUUUGAAGCUUUUCCAGAGCAGAUUGUUGUUUAGUGGCAAUUAUAGCAAGUUUACUGUAACUGGGUUUCUUAUAAUCAUUAUGUUCACAGUCACUUGAAUCAGAGGUGGAGGCAUUAUUUGAUACCUUUGAACCUUUUGCCAUGAAGCAAUAGGUUGGAGCGAUGUCAUCAGCAUAGUCAUCAGUAUGGAUGGUGCACUCAUUUUCUUCAAGAUUGAAGAUUGACUUGCUCACGAAAGUGGUAGCUAGUGCAAGACUAGCCUGUCCGGAUUCUGAGUCUUCUCCAAAGCCUUCUUCUUCAUCACAUUCCUCUGAUUCUGCCUCGGAAUCCAUUUCCUUGCCAAUAAGUGGCCGAGCCUUUCUGAAGCUAGUCUUCUUGUGUGAAGAGGACUUUGAAGAUGAGGAUUUUGAAGAUUUCUUCUUCUUCUUCGAGUCAUCAGAACUGUCAUCCUUGUAUUUCUUCUUCUUUGAUUCCUUUCCCCAGCGGAGACAAUCAACAAUGUAAUGACCUGAUUUCUUGCACUUGUGACAGGUCCGUUUCUUGUAGUCCUCAGAUGCAGAUUCUGAUUUCCUCAUGUCUCUUCUUGAUGAUUUACCAAACUGGCCUUGUCGUGUAAAUCUCUGGAAUUUCCUCACAAGCAUUGCAAGCUCCUGCCAAAUUCUUUAGGGUCACAACUCCUUUCAUCUGUGUCUUCUUCUUCAGAUGAGGAAAUUGCUCUAGCCUUCAGUGCACGUGGUCUGGAAUAGCUUUGUCCAUAUAGAUCUCUCUUUUCUUCUAGCUGGAAUUCAUGAGUAUUUAGCCUUUCAAGGAUAUCAGCUGGAUCUAGCAUCUUGUAGUCUGGUCUUUCUUGAAUCAUCAGAACUAGAGUGUCAAAAGAAGAAUCUAAGGAUCUCAGCAGUUUCUUCACAACUUCGUGAUCAGUGAUGUCUCGAGCUCCCAGUGCUUGCAGUUCAUUUGAUAUAUCAGUGAGGCAAUCAAAGGUGUCUUGGCAGCUUUCAUUGUCAUGUCUCUUGAAGCGAUUGAAGAGAUUGCGGAGAAUAUCAACACGAGAGUCACGUUGGGUUGAUACUCCUUCAUUUACCUUGCACAGUCUCUCCCAGAUCAGUGUUGCAGAGCCCAAGGCACUUACUCUUCCAAACUGGCCAGGGCUCAGAUGACCACAGAUGAUGUUCUUCGCUUGAGAAUCGAGCUGCUUGAAUUUCUCCACAUCAGCUGCAGUGACACUGGCAGAGAUGAUGGGGACUCCAUUUUCCACAAUAUACCAGAGAUCAUUAUCAAUAGCUUGUAAAUGCAUUUGCAUUUUGUUCUUCCAGAAGGGAGAGUUAUUUCCUUCGUAGGUAGGACAUGCUGCAGUCACUUUAAACAUGCCUGCAGUCGACAUAACUAAAACUCCACGUGGUUAAACCAAAAUCACACAGAACAAGGGAGUACCUUGCUCUGAUACCAUUUGAAAGUGCGUUAUAUCGACUAGAGGGGGGUGAAUAGGAGAUUUUUAGAAUUUCAUCGCUGAGGAAAUUCCUUUUGAGGAAAUUCCUCACUGAUGACUAACUUACAGCGGAAACAGUUACGGAUCAGACGUGCAAACUUUCACAAUAGCAGUAUUACAGAGUGAAGAAUGUGAAAAACAGAUUGCAUAGUAAGCAGGCACGCAGAAUACAGAUGAUGAUUAACUUAAGUGAAGAAUUUGGGGUUGAGGAAAUUCAGAGAAAGUCUUCAGCAAAUUCUUCAAACAGUCACAGUGGAAGUCAUCAACACAUAAUACAAAGACAGUAAAGAGUUGAGGAAUUAGAACCCGAUUCUUGGUGAAGACUGUUGUUGAUGACCCAGUUCCAACUGUUGUGACAGUUGUACAUCUGGCUUGGAGAAGCUUGGUAUUGAAACCAAAGGACACCCAGUCCCGGGACACACAGUCCCUACCGUAUUCUCCUUGAGCUAAGGACACACAGUCCUCGCCCAACACUCGUGGUAAGUCUUCAGGGCAGACUUCCAAACCCUCACAAACUCGGUCAUCCGGCGAUCCACAAUUGACUGCUGGAUUGCUCUAGACCAUGACGCCUAACCGUCUGGAGGAUGCACAGUCCUCAAAGGUAAAAGGCUUCAGUCCCACACAGGAACAACUUCUUCAGUGAUGCUCAAUCACUAGGUUUGGUUUGUGGUUUCGGUGGGUGGUGUAUUUCCUCACUGAUGAUUUACUCUCGAAGGUUCUGAGGAAUUUGGGUUGCUCUUAUGACAAGUGUCAGUUUCUAACGGAGCAGCCAACCAGCUAGUGGUUGUGGGGGCUGGCUAUUUAUAGCCUGAGAGCAUCCCGACAUGAUUUGACACUAAUGCCCUUAACUAAUAUGACCGUUGGAGUGGAUAAGACCAAUGACUUGGCGUGGUUAUCGAAACGGUCGGGACCCUCAACUGUGAGAGUCCUCAUGUCACUCAUAUUCCUCACUUGAGGCUUUUGGUAGGAUUAGGCUUGGGUUGAGCAUCAUGAGGAAAUCCAUUCCAUAGUGUUACUUUGACCCCCUUUAACAGUACGGUGUUCCUAUUCAUCAAAUGCGAAGAAAGUAAAACAGAAAACGAAAAUCUUCACGCUUCAAUUUCUUCAGAACGAUUUUCUUCAGGAACCACCGAUCUUCUUAAUAUCAAUAUCUUCAUGAGGAAUAUCAAUUUCAUCGCAGAUUCCUCGCGAUUCAUUUCUUCAGCUUCAGAGCAAAUUCUUCAACUGAAGACAUAUAUUUUUAGGGGUCGAUAUUCUUCAAAUAUCUCAAACUCCUCAAUGACUUAUAGAUCAUGUGUACACUUAUAAACACAUUAGAUACUUAACCUAUAAGUCUUCAAACCACCAAAAUCACUAAGGGGCACUAGAUGCACUUACAACAUCCUUGAGGUAUUUCUCCUGUGAUAUGAAGAUUCCAUUGCGUUGUUGACGAAUUUGAAGACCUAAGAAGAAUUUCAGCUCCCCCAUCAUAGACAUCUCAUAUUCUUCACUCAUCAUGUAAGCAAAUUCAUCACGGUAACGUUUGUCAGUACAACCAAAUAUGAUAUCAUCAACAUAUAUCUGGCACACAAAUAGUUCAUUAUCAUAGGAUUUAGUGAAAAGAGUUGGAUCGAGUGAACCAGGUUUGAAGCCUUUCUUCAUGAGGAAUUCCUUCAAUGUAUCAUACCACGCCCGAGGGGCUUGCUUGAGACCAUAGAGCGCCUUUUUGAGUCUGAAGACUUUGUCUGGAUUCUUUGGAUCCUCAAAAUCUGGGGGCUGAGCAACAUGUACUUCUUCCUCAAGCUUACCAUUGAGGAAUGCACUUUUCACAUCCAUUUGAUAUAAGAUGAUGUUAUGAUGAUUAACAUAAGCAAGUAGUAUUCGAAUAGCUUCAAGUCUAGCGACAGGUGCAAAAGUUUCAUCGAAAUCUAUUCCUUCAACCUGUGUGUAGCCUUGGGCUACAAGUCGUGCCUUAUUCAUCAACACUUGACCAUCCUCAUCUUGCUUGUUUAGGAAAAUACAAUUGGUUCCGAUGAUAUUGUGCUUGCGAGGAUCUGGUCGUUUGACGAGCUCCCAUACGUCAUUCAGCUUGAAUUGAAGAAGUUCGUCUUGCAUGGCUUGGAUCCACUCCGGUUCCAUGAAAGCCUCGGCAACUUUUGAAGGUUCUGUGAUAGACACAAAGGAUAAAUGCCCACAAAAGUUGACUAAGUGUGAAGCUUUUGAGCGAGUGAGAGGACCUGGCGCGUUGAUGUCAUUGAGGAUUUUGUCAAGUUCUACUUCAUUUGCAAUCCUCGGAUGAGCUGGUUGAGGAUUUCGUCUGGGCUGAGGAAUUGGUUCUGGAGAAAUUUCCUGAGGAGCAUCUUAUUGAUUUUCAUCAGUGCUGGGAAUGAUUUCUUCAUCAAUUUCCUCAGUGGGAACAAUAUCUUCAGAUGCUUUUAGCUUUAUUGCUUCCUCGGGAGACACCUUAUCUGGACCAGGAGGCAAUUGCUCUCUUUGCGAGCCAUUAGUUUCAUCGAACCGCACAUCUACAAUCUCAACAACCUUGUUGUGAUAGUUGUUGAAGACUCUAUAGGUGUGCGAGUCCUUUCCAUAACCGAGCAUAAAACCUUCAUGUGCCUUAGGUGCAAAUUUUGAGCUAUGGUGAGGAUCUCUAAUCCAACAUUUUGCACCGAAGACUUUGAAAUAACUUACAUUGGGUUUCUUGUCAGUGAGGAGUUCAUACGAGGUUUUCUUGAGGAAUUUGUGAAGAUAUACCCUAUUGAUGAUAUGGCAUGCAGUGUUGAUUGCUUCAGGCCAAAAGCGACGAGGAGUCUGAUAUUCUUCAAGCAUGGUUCUUGCCAUCCCAACCAGAGUCCUGUCCUUCCUUUCGACGACACCAUUCUGUUGAGGAGUAUAAGGAGCAGACAAUUCAUGAAUAAUACCAAGUUCAUCAAGAUAAUUAUCAAGACCAGUAUUUUUGAACUCUGUUCCAUUAUCACUCUUGGUGUGUUUGAUCUUGAUGUCGAAGUUCGUCGAGGCCCGUGAAGAAAAUCGUUUGAAGACUUCCUGCACUUCAGUUUUAUAUAGAAUGAUAUGCACCCAUGUAUAUCUAGAAUAGUCAUCAACUAUGACAAAGCCAUAUAAAGAUGCUGCAUUUGUUAGUGUGGCAUAAUGAGUAGGUCCAAAUAGAUCCAUGUGAUGAUUAGUGGUCAUGAUAGUCUUCGAGGGGUGCUUGGAUCUGGGUCUUUUCCCAGACUCACAAGCACCGCAGAGAUGGUCCUUGAGGAAUUUGACUGAUUCGAUGCCGAUGACAUGCUUCUUCUUCGCGAGCAUGUGCAAAUUCCUCAUGCCUGCAUGACUGAGUGUUCGAUGCCACAACCACCCUUCUGAGGUUUUUGCUAGUAAGCAAGUGGCUGGUUGAGGACCUGUAGAGAAAUUAACAAUGUACAAAUCCCCUCUUCUAACACCUUCGAAGACUUUGGAUUUGUCAGAUUCCAUGAUGACAACACAUAUAUAUCUUCCAAAGAUAACAAUCAUAUCAAGAUCACAAAGCAUUGAGACUGACAUGAGGUUAAAUCCAAGGCAUUCAACAAGCAUCACUUUGUCCAUGUGCCUAUCCUUGGAAAUAGCCACUUUGCCAAGUCCCAAUACCUUGCUUUUACCUUUGUCAGCAUAUGUGAUUUGCUUCAGUGGUGAUGGAGUUAGUGGCAUAUUCAUCAGCAAGUUUUUGUCACCAGUCAUGUGAUGUGUGCAGCCACUAUCAAGAACCCACUCAGUACUCUUGGGUUUGUCAUCCUGCAGAUGAAUUAGUACAGCUUACCAUCUCAUAUGCUUCAGCUUUGAAGAAUAUGAUAUCAAUUUCAUCAGAUAGGAAUUUCAUCAUAAACAGAAUUAUAAGGACGUGUGAAAUAUUUCUAUUUCAUCAAUAUUAGCUUGCGUCCUAUCAAACAUUUUCCUCAGGUCUCCAACAAAUUCUUCACAUAAUGAUUUUCAUCUGGAGACCUGACCUCCAGAAGUGAUUAGUUCAAUUUCUUCACCACCCACAUCUGAAGAGGUGGUAAAGCAUUCAUCAUCAUGCGAGCACCAUAUGAGAAAGGAGGCAUUGAAGCUAAUGCACUUCUCUUAACAGUAGAGGGGUUAAAGCACUCAAAUGAAUAUGCACAGAACUAAUUUGAGGAUUUAUGAACAUAAUGAUUUGAAAAAUAAUGCUCAUAUUCAUAUUCCUUGUAAUUUCCCUGCAUGUUAGAAGCAUUAGCACGGGUACGAGCAUAGUUUUGACCAGUUGAGGAUUUUGAUCGUCUUGAAGACUUUGGUCCUCGUGAGGAAUUUGAUCUGGGGUUCAAAUUCUUCAUAGGUGGUGUCAUGAGGACAUUCACCUGAAGAUUUUCAAGGCAACUUUUGGGAACCCAGAUUUUCCUCAGGGGAGGCCCAUUCCUGCAGUUAGUUCCAACAUAUCGAGCAAAUACUUCACCAGAUUGAUUUUUGAACAGUUUAUAGUUGGAGUCAAAUGACUCAUCUGAGGAAUAAGAUAAUUCACAUGAAAAGCAUGUUAGAUUGGAUGGAUCAAAUGGAGGCCCAGUAGCAGCAACCCAUGAGGUUUUGGGAUACUGCUCAGGUUUCCAAUAAGAUCCAUCAGCAUUCAAUUUCCUCUCAAAGGCAAUUCCUUCUUUCCUCGGGUUCAUGUUCAAGAUCUGCUUUUUGAGCACAUCACAAAGGGUUUGAUGUCCUUUGAGACUUUUGUAUAUGCCUGUCACAUACAAUUCCUUCAGCCCUGCAUUUUCAUCAGUGACAUUUGUGGUUUCCUCAAGUGAGGAAUUUGAUACUACAGGAGCAGUUGAAGAAUUUGUAGCAAUAGAAGCAUUUGAUGAUUCUGGUGAAGAAUUAGUAGUUUCACGUUCGAUGCAUGUAAGACAGGGAAGAAUGAAUUCAGCUUGAGCAGCACUGAUCUAUUGAGCUAGUAAUGAAUCAUUUUCCAUACGAAGAUCAUCAUGAGAAAUCCUCAGCUUCUCUAGAUCAAGCUUCCUUUGAAGAAAUUCAUAGGAAAGUUUAUCAUGAUCAGCGAGGAGUGUAACAUGACAAUCUUCAAGAUUAUCAAAUCUGGACUGAAGACUUUUCAAGUCUUCAGUGAGGAUUUGGGUAAGAUUCAUUUCAUCAUUCAACAGAUCAUCGCUUCUAUCUAGCAGUUUCUGAAGCUUUUCCAGGGCAGUUUGUUGUUUAGUGGCAAUGAUAGCAAGUUUACUGUAACUUGGUUUUCUAUAAUCAUCAGGCUCACAGUCACUUGAAUCAGAGGAGGAAGCAUCAUUCGGUACCUUUGAACCUUUUGCCAUGAAGCAAUAGGUUGGAGCAAAGUCAUCAGCAUAGUCAUCAGUGUGGAUGGUGUUAUCAUUUUCUUCAAGGUUGAAGACUGACUUGCUGACGAAUGUGGUUGCAAGUGCAAGGCUAGCCUGUGCAGAUUCCGAGUCUUCAUCAGAACCCUCCUCUUCAUCACAUUCCUCGGGUUCUGCCUCGGAGUCCAUUUCCUUGCCAAUAAGUGCCCAAGCCUUUCUGAAACUAGUCUUCUUGUGCGAUGAGGACUUUGAGGAUGAGGAUUUUGAAGAUUUCUUCUUUUUCUUCGAGUCAUCAGAACUUUCAUCCUUGUAUUUCUUCUUCUUUGAUUCCUUUCCCCAACGAGGACAAUCAGCAAUGUAGUGACCUGAUUUCUUGCAUUUGUGGCAGGUUCUUUUCUUGUAGUCCUCAGAUGAAGAGUCUGAUUUCCUCAUAUCUCUUCUUGAAGAUUUACCAAACUGGCCACGUCGUGUCAACUUCUGGAAUUUCCUCAUGAGCAUUGCAAGCUCCUGUCCAAAUUUUUCAGGAUUACCAAUGCUACCAUCCGAGUCUUCUUCUUCAGAUGAGGAAAUUGCUUUGGCCUUCAGUGCACGUGGUCUAGAAUAACUUGGUCCAUAUAGAUCUCUCUUUUCUUCUUGUUGGAAUUCAUGAGUAUUGAGUCUUUCGAGUAUAUCAGCUGGAUCAAGCAUCUUGUAGUAUGGUCUUUCUUGAAUCAUCAGAACUAAAGUAUCAAAUGAAGAAUCCAAAGAUCUUAGCAGUUUCUUCACAACUUCGUGAUCAGUAAUGUCUCGAGCUCCCACUGCUUGCAGUUCAUUUGAUAUGUCGGUGAGGCGAUCAGAGGUAUCUUGGCAGCUUUCAUUGUCAAACCUCUUGAAGCGAUUGAAGAGAUUGCGAAGAACAUCAACACGAGAAUCACGUUGGGUUGAUACUCCUUCAUUCACUUUGGACAUCCUUUCCCAGAUAAGUUUUGCUGAGCCCAAAGCACUUACUCUGCCAUACUGGCCCUUGCUCAGAUGGCCACAGAUGAUAUUCUUCGCCUGAGAAUCAAGUUGCUUGAAUUUCUUCACAUCAGCGGCAGAGACAGUAGCAGUGACGAUAGGGACGUCAUGUUCCAAAAUAUACAAUAGAUCGUUGUCAAUAGCUUGUAGAUGCAUCUGCAUCUUGGUCUUCCAGAAGGGAAAGUCCUUUUCUUCGAAAGUAGGACAUGAUGCAGUAACCUUGAUCAUGCCUGCAGUCGACAUAACUAAAAAUCCAGGUGGUUAAACCAAAAUCACACAGAACAAGGGAGUACCUUGCUCUGAUACCAAUUGAAAGUGUGUUAUAUCGACUAGAGGGGGGAGGGGUGAAUAGGAGAUUUUUAGAAUUUCAUCACUGAGGAAAUUCCUUUUGAGGAAAUUCCUCACUGAUGACUAACUUACAACGUAAACAACAAAGGAUUAGAAGUGCAAAGUAUCACUACAACAGUUUUCAAGGUGAAGAAUAUGAAAAACAGUUUGCACAGUAUGCAGGCACGGAGAAAACAAAUGAGGAUUAACUCGCGUGAAGAAUUUGGGGUUGAGGAAUUUCAGAGAAAGUCUUCAGCAAAUUCUUCAAACAGUGACAGUGAAAAUCAUCAUCAUACAAUCUGAGGAAUGUAAGGAGUUGAAGAAAUAGAACCCGUUUCACAGUGAAGAUAGUGGUUGAUGACCCAGUUCCAACUGUUGUGAUAGUUGUACAUCUGGUUUGGGGCGGCUUGGUAUUGAAACCAAAAGACACACAGUCCCAGGACACACAGUCCCUAUUGUAUUAUCCUUGGGCUAAGAACACACAGUCCUCGCCCAACACUCGUGGUAAGUCUUCAGGGCAUACUUCCAAACCCUCACAAACUUGGUCACCCGACGAUCCACAAUUGACUGCUGGAUUGCUCUAGACCAUGACGCCUAACCGUCUAGAGGAUGCACAGUCCUCAAAGGUAAAAGGCUUCAGUCCCACACAGGAACAACUUCUUCAGUGAUGCUCAAUCACUUGGUUUUCGGUUUGUGGUUUGGUGUUUGGGGUAUUUCCUCACUGAUGAAUUAUUCUCGAAGACUGUGGGGAAUUUGGGUUGCUCUUAUGACAAGUGUCAGUUUCUAACAGAGCAGCCAACCAACUAAUGGUUGUGGGGGCGACUAUUUAUAGCCUGGGAGCAUCCUGACAUGAUUUGACAUUAAUGCCCUUAAAUAAUAUGACCGUUGGUGUGGAUAAGACAAAUGAUGUGGCGCGACUAUCGGUAACGGUCGGGACCCUCAAUUGUGAGAGUCCUCAUGUCUCUCAUAUUCCUCACUUGAGGCUUUUGGUAGGAUUAGGCUUGGGUUGAGCAUCAUGAGGAAAUUCAUUCCAAUGUGUUACUUUGACCCCCUUUAACAGUACGGUGUUCCUAUUACUCAAGUGUGAAGAAAAUAAAACAAAAAGGAUAAAUCUUCAUGCUUCAAAGUCUUCAGAUUGAUUUUCUUCAGGAUGCACCGAACUCCUCAUUUUCAAUAUCUUCAUGAGGAAUAUCAAUUUCAUUGCAAUUUCUUCGCGAUUCCAUUCUUCAGCUUCAGACCAAUUUCUUUAGCCGAAGAUAUACAUUUCUAGGGGUCGAUAUUCAUCGUAUAUUUCAAACUCCUCGGCGACUUAUAGAUCCCGUGUACACUCACGAACACAUUAGAUACUUAACCUAUAAGUCUUCAAACCACCAAAAACACUAAGGGGCACUAGAUGCACUUACACAAUAUUUUCGUGGAUAGGAUCGCACGGGCUCUAUCCUACAGUAGCCAUCAUGUACAAGGCAGUGCACACGCCAUACGAAGCGUCCCCGAGUCGUAGCAAGCUACAAUGACUCUUUAAGACACAAUGAGAACCGCUAUAAGACGACCGUGAACAAACAAAUCCACUAGAUGCCGAACCCCAAUCUCACAUCAUGUAUUUGUUGGAAGAUUGUCCCACAAGUAACUACUUGAAUUCGCACCUAAGAACUACCGAAAAAUUCUGGUCAUGCAAUCGGGUCCACAGAUACAAGGAGAAAUUCAUCACUCAACUCCUAGCAUCUAACCCAUCCAGUGUAUCACAUCCGUCAACACAUAACCAGAGAUCUCGGAAACUCAUCUACCUCAGAUCCUCGUGAUCACAACGAUACUAAGUAUGCCGGUACCCCCGAACUCUCUACACCAUUACUGGGGAUGCCAGGCUUAUAUUGCCACUACUAGUAUUGAAGCAAUUUCGAAUAUCCUUCGCCCUGAGAUACUAAGAAAUCUUAAUGAUAAUGGUGUGCUCAAGAAUCCCUUGGAGCUCAACUCCCCGGAAUAAAAUCAACACAACAGGAGGCACCAAGUCAGAACUCCGUCACAUCGACAUCAUAUAGAUUCCAAAAAUAUCCGCGUGAUCCUAAUUUUUUUUAGUGGGAAGAGGAGUAGAAUUAAAUUUAUUACGUCAAGAUUCCUCACCAGAGCAUAGAAGAGGAGAAAAAAGAAUCCUACUCUCCGAUAUAUAACUAGACUCAAAGCAGUUUUUCACUAGACUCAAAUCGGCCAAGUUCGAUCAAUCAAGGGGGCUCCUAGGUUGGUACUGCUCUCAUACCAACUUUUAAAGCCCAAGAUGCGAUCCUAUCCUUAUUUUGGUGCCAGGGCCUCGACAGGGAUAUAAGCGCAUCUCAUCGUUUCGCAAGAAUGGAUAUCGUUUCAAGUACAUGUACAGAAUAGAUGAGUAUAUGGAAUUGACCUACACUUGCCACAUGCUACAUCAGAGUCACAUAAUACAACAACAUAAUCAAUCAUCAUGAAGAAGAGAAGGGUCCGACUAUGGACAAAAACAAAUGAUAAAAGAACGACGUCCAUCCUUGCUAUCCCAGGCUGCCGCCCUGGAACCCAUCAUCCUAGAUCGAAGAAGAAGAAGAAGAAGAAAAACUCCAAAUAGCACAAUCAACGCACUCUCGUCAAAGUAACUCUUUACCUGUACCUGCAACUAAUGUUGUAGUAAUCUGUGAGCCAUAGGGACUCAUCAAUCUCAUUUCGAAAGGUAUCAAGACUAGCAAAGCUUAAUGGGUGAGGUAUGGUUAAGUGGUGAGGUUGUAGCAAGCGACUAAGCAUUUAUUUGAGGUGGCCAACUUACGAGUACAAGAAUAAGAGGGGGAUAAUGUACACAUAGAGGAUGCGAACUACUGAUGAUCAAAUGAAUGAUCCUGUACACCUACUUACGUCACACAUAACCCCACCGGGUCCUCGAUCGGAGAAGGAGCUCACGAAAGAGAUAAUCAUGGUUACGCACUCAGUUGGCAAGUUUUAAUUAAGUUUACUUCAAGUUAUCUAGAACGGGGUGUUAAACAAAGGUUCCAAGUUUGCCACAUAACGAUGGGCACGGCUUUCCGAAAGAUUUAACCCUGCACGGGUGCUCUAACUAGUCCAUCACAAACUACCACACGCUACGAAGGAAUGACCUCGAUCAGGGGAAACCCGUGAUCUCCCCGGGUUCCUAUUGGAAAACCUCAACAUGGAGAUAGCCCAAAGUAUCCUCGGAAUCCCUCGCACAAGGCGCUCGAUAAAGGUAAAACAAGUCCAGCAAGGCCGCCCAACGUGUCCACGAUCCCGACAGAAGCUGCAUAUCUCGUUCUCAGGACACGACGGAUGAGAAAUACGUACGGUGGCCGGAUAGACAUCCCCCGAGUUGCCCCGGGUGGCCCCGCAAGUGGCUCUGUUUGGGACCAACACCAACAACACUGCCCCCUGUAUUAUGUUGAAUUACUCCUUGGGUUCAUGACGCCCUAUGUUUUCAGUAUUAACAAAAUUAUUAUGUUGGGAAAAUAUAGUACCAAUGUUGGGCCUUGCCAGACGAGCUUUAUCCUAAAACCAGAAUCAGGGGGUCCCCAUAACAACCCCAAGCAUGUUAGGAGCACUCAUUUAUGAACAUAACACCGGUAGGCGAAACUAAGGUGACAAAGGUGGAACAAAACACCAGGCUAGAAGACCGAGCCUUCCACCUUUUACCAAAUAUAUAGGUGCAUUAAUUUAAAUAGCAUUAAUACGGUGGUAUAACAAGGAACCCGUGUUUUCACAUGGAAUCAACUACACCUGCAACUAGCAACACCAUCCAAUGGUUAAGCAAGCAGUAACAUAACAAGAGAAACGAGACAAUUAGCAUGACAUUGAUAGUAAUGGUAUAUAGAGAAAUGUUCAUCUUGCCUGUGAUCCUGAUUGGAAGAAGAACGACUCCGUGAAGUAGACGAACCGACAUGGUCGAACGGAUCCUCACAUUCCGACACGCUUGCGGAACUCUAUCGAAGCGAAGCAAACUGCAAACAAGAAUCAACACACGAUAUUCACCACGGCACAUGCAUGACAUGAUGCACAACACAUAUGAUGCACGAUCGGUUUAAAUUAUGCAAGGCAUGACAUGACAAUUCACAUCACGCAAACACUACACAUUAAGUGAAGCUCAAUAUGCAACGAGUUGCAUAUUGACAAAACAUCACAUACAAAUUAUGUAGUUCACUCCCGUUUAGGUACUCGACAAUAUUAAAUGUUGUUAAACAUGGCAAGGGGUGAAGCAUAAAUAGACUACCUAUUUAGGCAUUUUAAAUGAGGUCAGAAACGUCAUAUAGCAUCUCCGAACUAACCCCAUGUGUUAACUUCAGAAUCUGUCCAGAUUUGACCUAAUCACAUUUUAUGUUUGUUAAAAGUGGUUUAUGUGAUUCUGCUCGUCGUUCUAGUCCAUUUACAUAUAUGGCUCAUCUCCAGCGGAGCUACAAUUAAUUAACUACGAACUAAACCGUUUUUAACACGUUGUCACACAAACUAAUGCAAACAGCACGACUAACAGCUUUAAACAUGCAUGAGAGUUGGAAAAUAUUAAUCUACGCGAAAUUCUACACGUUUUACAUAUAUAAUUUAUCGCGAUCCGACGCACGGUUUGAAAACUACGGGCGUUUGAAAAUAAACAUUUUUUCUAAAAAUACUAAAUUCGCAAAACGUAAAAAAAUACUAAACGGGCUGGUUGGCUGGCUCGGGCUCCGGAAGGGCGGGCCAGAUCCGAGCCUGAGUGGGCCUGGCGGCUGGGAGGAGAGAGGAAGUGGAAGAGAGUCGCGGUCACGGAUUUCGAGGAGGAAUUAGGGUUUGCUGAAUCAGGCAAGGAUGGCUAUCUAUUUAAAGAGAGGGGGCUAGGGUUAGCAGAUUUCGUCCGAAUUUGGACCGCAGGAUCGUGAUCGGACGACUCCGGUAGUGGGUAGUGGCUAGGUUAGGGCUUAGUGGCCAUGUAGAGGGGUUUGUGGGCUAAGAAGAGAGAGAAAUUGUGGUCCGUAACACGCAUUUUAAAACAACGAAAACAUCCGGCAAUUAAACCGGCUAUAGUGCCGCUAUAUAUUUAACGGUACAGGUAUCAAACGUGCUUCGAUUGUGACGAAAUUUGGCACACGACCUACCUACAUUAUAACAAGACCGCACGCCAAGUUUCAACCCAAUCUCAGAAAGUUCCAUACACACUUUUAAAAACAAAUAUUUUACGAUGACGCGGGCGCGUGCGUGUGUGGUUGGUCUCGAAACGGUCAACGACGAAACACAGAGAGAACCGACAACUAAAAACGGAUGCAAGUUUUGAAAACUGGCGGCAACGUAGUGCCGAUGCAAUGGAGAUGAUGCGAAUGAUGCGAUGAUGGAUGCGACAGACAAUCUAAUCGCACGACGACAAUGGAAUAAGAGGGAAAUCUUCUCGAACGUCGGUCUCGGGCUGUCACACCUCUUGCCCGACAUAGAUCUCCCUCUUCCAGUCUUCCCUGUCCCUUUCUCUUUGAUUACCAACUCUCGGGGAGGCGUGAUCCCCGAUUCCAAACGCCAAUCCCUUAUCGGAGAUGAACACAACAACACACGAAAGGCUAUCGGCGACAUGUCGAAAAUGCUCGAACCGGCGCCCCCGUGCAAGAACCAUGGCGACUAGGGGACUGCAACGGUGACAUGAGGACAACUACAAACGGCGGUGCCAAUACUACAACCAUGGACGUAAAAAUCUACAUCUAUUAGAUAAAAAAACUUCAAUCACACUUCAGAACACAUGAAAAGUUACAACCGUUCUAACAAAAGCUUCAUCCCGCAGAUGAAAAAGCUUCAACCACAUAUAGAAAAAUCUUUAACGAGCGACUACAAAAGCUUCAAGCAAUUUUUGGAACAUAUGAAAUGUUGCAAUAGUUUUUUUGAAAGGCUUCAUCCAACAGAUGAAAAAGCUUCAAUUAGAGUUUUUAAGAAAGCUUCAACUAGUUUUCGAAACACAUGAAAUGUUGUAACCGUUUAAAAAAAACUUCAACCGAGAGAUGAAAAAGCUUCAACGAGAGUUUUUGAGAAAGUUUCAACCAAAAUGUUUUGCAACCAAUGCCGUCAUUUUUGUUGAAACCGAGAGUGUCAUUUGCUACAACCGUGACUCAAUUUUGUUGCGAGCGAACAUGCCGAGCUACAACCGGCGACUACGACGACAAGACGUUUUUAUUGCAACUGUAUUUAUUUUUUGCUAUUACCAGCAACUUGUUUUGCUGCAUUGUUUGUUCUUUUUCUUUAAAAACGAACUAACCACAUGACACGCUCUAGUCGGGAUGAGAUGGUUGUGGUUGGUUUCUGCGAGCUCCGUCGACAUCGACGGGCACGGGGACGAGGGCGGCUAUGAAAGCAGUGACGAGCACGACGAAGAUGACGCGAUGCUUCGAGCGGCGGGGGCGGCAGGCGGCGACAGGAAACGGGGACGACCGACGUUGUGCGGGCAAGAAAAAAAAGGCGGCUGCUACAAAGAAAAAUCAGUCGGCUUCAGAACCGUCUGAUCAGGCCCCUCCUCUCAUGCGAAUCUCCCUCUGAACAUCAUAGCCUUGCAUCAGCCACAACACUAGAGCUCAUCUUCCAAAGCAUAGCUUCCCCGUCGCCGUCGAGAUCCAUGGGGUCACCACACCAAUAACACUGCACUGCAGCUCUCGUCCUCCGAUGAGGUCCACCAGUUGCCGCACCAUAUAUUGCACUGCAGCUCCGCCGUGCCACCAAUGAAGUCAGUCGCAGCAGCAUGAACGCUACAAUGCAACUCCCCCUCCUCGUCGGCAAGGUCCAUCGGCAGCACCACGCGUUGCACUCCAGCUCCGUCGUGCCGUCGCUGAGAUGGUCGCAUCACCGUGAACGCUGCACUUCAGCUUCCCUGUCGGUGAGGUUCGCCGGUCGCAACACCUUGUGUUGCACUGCAGCUCCCCUAGCGCGGCUCGCUCCGGUGAGGUUUGCCGGUCGCAGCACCUUGUGUUGCACUGCAGCUCCCCCUGGCGCGGCUCGUUCCGGUGAGGUUCGCCGGUCGUAGCACCUUGUGUUGCACUGCAGCUCCCUCUGGCGCGGCCCGCUCCGGUGAGGUUCGCCGGUCGCAGCACCUUGUGUUGCACUGCAGCUCCCUCUGGCGCGGCCCGCUCCGGUGAGGUUCGCCGGUCGCAGCACCUUGUGUUGCACUGCAGCUCCCUCUGGCGCGGCCCGCUCCGGUGAGGUUCGCCGGUCGCAGCACCUUGUGUUGCACUGCAGCUUCCCCCUGACGCGGCCCGCUCUGCAGAACCAAGCGAUUCUUCGUUUGCAACCCCGACGACAGUUGUUGGGGAGUUGCAGGUUCAUCACUGGAGUGUUGCACGCCUCCUGCGGCUGCCUGGACGAGGGCCAUGACGAAGGUUAGAGAGGGAUGUAGAGAAGAAAAAGAUGGAAAAUGGGGAUCUCGCUCGUGUGUUGGUAGAAAUGAGUGGCUCUGGUUGCUGCGCUCAAGAUAAGGUAGAUGGUGGGUGGAUGGGCCCAUAUGGACGUGCGGCGUGACACGAUCGAUGACGCGUGGCGCGAGCGCGACCCGGCUGAUUUAGAACGUUUUUCAAAAAAAAAAAGGUAAGGCAAACUGUUUUUUUAACGAAGAUGCAACGAUCCACGCGGUCAAGAUCCAACAAUUGUGAUGCGACCGGCGCAAAUUAGCACUCGCCAAUCGCCAUCCCUCCUUCGCCUCGUCCCAAACCCACCUGACCGUCGAAGACCCCCGCAUAAACGUCACCUCGAAGGUUGUCUUCCCCUUCCCCGGUGUCACGAGAGCGCCUUCUCGCCAAAGCAGUCCCGUUACCUCCAACUCCAAGUGAAGAAACUCAGGCUUCCUCGCCUCCAUCUCUACCUGGUUGGCGUGCCAUCUGGACCCGAUUCGUUUCGUCGGUAAGGAGACCCUAGCUUGCAUAGAUCCCACUUCGUCUUGAUCUUUCCUUUGCAGUGAAGUGUUAUCAAAUCAAAACGUGUGCCUCAUCUACGACAUCCGAUCCGACUUGACCCCAUCCGAUCGAGGCGGGAAGAAUCCACCCAUGCUUUUCUUUUGGUAUUAACCCUGACCUCGUACUUCUAGGAGUUUCUUUUCGCAAUAUUAGAAUCGGCGGGUUCAGCUGAACCAGCAUGCCCUGCUUCAAGUCUGCCUCUUACCUUGGGCCUCUGAUUAUGUUGGUCUCGGGGAUUCUUACUCCGAUGUUGGUUGCCUUUUGUGUUCGUGAAGUUUGUUAUUAGGAGACACAGGUUAUUUCACUGUAGGAGAUUUAGGAAGUUAACCCUAUUAUAUGCGUUUAUGCUUGUCAUAAUUGUUACUUCUCCUGUGUUUGGACAUUUAUGGUCAUCAAGUAUUUGAUCUGGCCAAAACUCCAGCUUUCUAGGAUAUGGAUUCCUGGAAAUUCGUGCUAUGAUUUCGGAAUUUUAUCUAGUAAAGUUAUGGGAAAUAAUCGACUUGGAACUCAAUUUGUAGGUGCUUGUUCAGGGCAUGUACAAUGAAGCAGCAUCCUGGUGCUGCCCCAGCCCACCCACAUCAGCGCACAUCAGCGCAUGGAACUGAGACCACUGUUCAGCUUCACAUAUAUCCAACGCGUGUAUGUCCAUAUGACGUGAGCCGUUGCCCUUUUUCCCUGUUACAACAUAUGUGGAUUGUACUGUGCUUUUCCAUCAGUUCAGACUUUUUGUUGCGUUGAUUAGUGGAUGAAGCUUAACAUGGUAUCGGAGCCAAGGUCUCGAGUUCAAGUCCUGAUUUUUGCAAUUUAUUUAAAAAAUUGCUGGUAGCCUCCUUUGUGUCCACGUAGAGGCUUCUUGAGUCAUACAUGAGUUGCGCGCACCGUUGCUCUCUUUCGGUUGCACGUGUUGAAUUGUCUUUUCCGUCACACGUGAGAGGGGGUAUUAUAGUAUAUGUGAAUUGUACUGGCCCUUUUCAUCAGUUCGGAUUUUUGGUUGCGUUGGCUAAUGUAUGAAGCUUAACAUUUCCAUUCUUUACAUUUUCCUAUCUAUUCCUCUUAUCCUAUCUUUUUCUUUCCUUUUUCUUCUGUCUCACAUUUUUCAUGGAGAGACCGCCUCCUGCAAAGGAGCCUCUCUUUUUCUUCUCUCUCACAUUUUUCAUGGAGAGACCGCCUCCUGCAGAGGAGCCUCUGACAACUUGGGAGCAUUAGUUUGAAUCGUCACGGGGGCUUCUGUAGGAUCGAAAGUAUGUCUAGAAGGGGGGGUGAUUAGACUACUUCACAAGAUUUUUUUUUUUGCAUUUUCCCAAUUUUACUUGAGAGGCAGCUACGACAGUUAUAACAGAUAAAGUACACCCUACACAUGCAGUUCUAGUAGUAUUGCAGUGGAAAGUAAAACAUGCAAGUGUAAAGUAAAGGAGUGAGGUAGGGAGAUCAAACGCAUGAGGUUGACACGACGAUUUUUGGCAUGGUUUCGAUAGGUGGCGCUAUCGUACGUCCAUGUUAGUGGAGACUUCAACCCACGGAGGGUAACGGUUGCGAGAGUCCACACAGGGCUCCACCCACAAGGGGUCCACAAAGAAGCGGCCUUUUCUAUUCCACCACGGUUUACGUCUACACAGGACUAGCCUCACGCACGGUAGAUCUUUACGAAGUAGGCGAUCUUCUUGCCCUUACAAACAUCUUGGUUCAACUCCACAACACACAGUAGGAGGCUCCCAAGCGACACCUAACCAAUCUAGGAGGGACCACCCUCCAAAAGGUAAUAGAUGUCGUUGAUCAAUGAACUCCUUGCUCUUGUGCUUCUAAAGAUAGUCUCCUCAACACAAAUUACUCUAUCACAGAAUAUGCAUGGGUAGGAGAGGUUGAUUUGGUGAAAAGCAGUUUGGGGAGGCUAGAGAUCAAGUUUCAAAUGAUUGAAUUGUAAUAUCUUGGUCUCAACACAUGAGUAGGUGGUUCUCUCUCAGAAAAUGGAUCUGUAAAUGAAGUGUGUGUUCUGAGUGCUUCUCUCAUGAAUGAGAGGUGGGUGAAGGGGUAUAUAUAGGCAGCAGCCAAAAUCCAACCGUUAGGCACAAAAGUGCAAACUCGGUGACACCGAACUGGACAACUCGGUGGUACCGACUAGUACUAAAGAUGUGAACUUUUUGAAUCUCGGUGAGACCGAUAUAUGAAACUCGGUGGCACCGAAAAGGUGAGUAACGGUCAGAUGACCAAACUCGGUGGCACCGAUACUCAAACUCGAUGGCACCGAAAAGGUGACGAACGGUCAGAUGACCGAACUCGGUGGCACCGAUACUCAAACUCGGAAAUUCCGAUUUUGUGUAUUUUGGCAACAGAAUGUUGGUAACAUUGAACUCGGUAGCACCGAUGCAGUUUCGGUUGCACUGAUAUGGUGGGAAUGGCUAGGGUUCUGUCUGAGGUUCAAACUCGGUGGGUCCGAAGUGGCAAUGUUGGUUACACCGAAUUUGUGUAUGUGGAACUUGACAGAGUAAAUAUGUGGGAAGAAUGACUGAGUGUUUUGGAUGCUAACUUUGAGCAUUUGUGCAAUCAGUUCAUUUUACUACCUCACCCCCUUUUAAUAGUAUUGACUUUCCUAUGGACUCAAAAGUGAUUUCUCACAAAUGUAAAAUGAAGAGUUUUGUAGCUUGAAACUUGAGUGAAUAUUAUGUAUCCAGGGGUAUCUUCACAUAAACCUUAAGCCAUAACAUCUUUUAAACUUUUCUAAAAUAUACUUGAAAAACAUAUUAGUCUAAUAAUGCAUAUGUUGUGAUCAAUUAUCAAAACCAUCCUAGGGAGCAAUUGUGCUUUCAAUCUCUCCAUUUUUGGUAAUUGAUGGCAACACAUAGAUCAAAGCUUCGAUAAAAGAUAUAAUCAAUGAUUAGAAUCGAUGCUUUGAGAAGUAUGUGAAAAGCAAGAGCUCCCCCUAAAUUUGUGUAUUAUUUAAAAUUUGCGUUUGAAUGCAAAUGCACAAUCGAUUAGGAUCAUGGGUUACUCUUCCAUGUCACAUACAUCUUGGUGGUGCGUAAAAGUAAAAAGUAAUGCACAUGACACCAACAAGAUAAGUGAGUGAUUAUCACAAGGAUAGCUAAAAGAUGAUAUAGUAGCAUCACACAGGAUAAAGCGUAUGAUCACACACACAGACAUGAUAAAGUCAUCCAAAAACCAAAGUUUUUAAAACCAAACGAGAGCAAAUAAUGUCAAAAGCUCGCUCUCACACGAAGUCUAUGAUCUAUACAUUUCUUCCCCUUUGGCAACAAGUUACCAAAAAAUUCAAAAGUAUAGAACUACUCGUCUCUCUAGGCAGCUGAUGAUGGAGUCGAUAAAACAGCGUCGGUGAAGGCUUCUGCUGACGUCCCUGGAGCUGGAGGAGUUGAUACUGAAGGAGCUUGAGCUUGAGCUAGUGCUGAAGCUUGUGCUGAAGAUGUCUGUCGUGUCUCCGGAACAGGAACAUCAACUGACCGAGGCUGGGUGCUGAAUCUAGUGGUAGUGGGAGGAGACUCAUCCUCGUCAUCAUCUUCAUCUUCAUCCUCUGAGCGUGGAAUCUCCAAAGAGUUAACUUCAUGUUAAAACUGUCUGACAAUGGUGGUCAACUCAGUUACCUUCAAAUCCAUAUUGUGGAACUUUGUCGCCACAACUCUCUCAAGGCUCUUCUGAUUUAGCAUAAUCUGCUGAAUGUUUUUCUCCAUGCCUUGGACAGUGCUCACUAGAAAUGCCAUUUGCUCAACUUGAGUUCUGAGCUGUGGAACUGGAGGUGGCCUAUUUCUAGCAGCUUCAGCCCCUGUUGCCAUUCUUGCUGCAGCUGAGUUGAGAUCAUUAUCAUCCAUCACAACCUCAUUAUCUUCAAAUUCAGGCUGAAGAGGUAGAUGGGGACGAUCAAGUUGAUAUGCAUGCUUGCCUAGCUUGGUAUCGAUGAGCAUCUGAAUAUAGGGUGCAUAUCCACAGGAUCUCUUUUGAUCCGCAGCAGUCCUUCGGAUAGUCUCAACUAUCAAAUCCAUCAGACGAAAUUUGGUAUGGGUAUCAAGUAGGUGCAGCAGGUUGAUUGAAUAUCCUCUAAUCAUCUUCUCAUCUCAUGACUUAGGCAUGAGAGUGUAUCGCAGGAUAGUGUUUGUUGUGGGAAUACCACCUUGCAGAAAAUAUACUGAACCAAACUUGUGACUGGCCAAGUAUUGAUGAAGAAUGGUCUUGUACAUGUUGGCCAUGGAGUUGUGAUUCUGCUUAGCUUCUGCAUACACAUCUACAUCUGCAUCUUCCUGCUUGGGAACACCAAUGAUAGCAGCCCAUUCAACAAUUGUAGCAUUGUACCUGUGUCCAUCGGUCAUCCAGACUAAAGAGUCAUCAUAGAAAUAAACUGUUGCAUAGAAUUGCAUGAUCAUCUCGUCAUUCCAUGGGGUCAUCUCCUUCCCAACAAAGUCUUCUAUGUCAACAAGCCUGAAAUUCUCUUGAACAUGUGGAAAUAAAUUUUCAUUCUCCUUGAUGUAUGCCCAGUCGACAUACCUCAUAUCACUGACAGUAGGAC